Molecule: long non-coding RNA, 80868 nt
Filed under: Vitis vinifera (wine grape)
Lineage: Eukaryota; Viridiplantae; Streptophyta; Magnoliopsida; Vitales; Vitaceae
Description: long non-coding RNA (VVIN_LNC001392)
Source: RNAcentral
UACAAAGAAGUUCUAAAAGACUACAAGAAAGAGUUUCCACUAAAGAAAAACAAUGAAACCAUUUCUACUAAAGACAAACAAUGAAACCACAGAUGCUUUGUGAAAUAUGUACCCGCACAAUCCAACAAACUUUAGAAAUUCACAAACACUACCUAGAAUUUUUGCUGACCAGCAAAAAAUUUAUGCAAUUUAAUUCUUAUUGUUAUUAUUAUUUUCAAUGUGAACAAAUAUGAUUGAAUUAUGAAGUAUUUGGCCAGAAGAGGAUCUUGCCUAAUUAUAGUCAUUAAACAACCAUUUAUACCAUAGCCUCUAGACUUUAAAAAGUUUAUAAAACUCAAGGGCUUCCACCCAAUUUCUAGAUAUCUCCAUAACAUUCUUCUGACUAUUAGAAAGCAAUUACCACUUUAAUUUUUCAUUUCAUGAGUGUUCAAUUCAGAAAAAGACCAGGAUCGAACUUGCGAUCAUGCAGUCGAAAAUCCACCUGUGCAUGAAACUAUUGCCUCACGAUUGCAAACUCAAGUUGGAGUCCAGUAACAACUCUAGGUUUGCUGAUGUGCUCCAUUUGAAAUAAAGGAACUAAAGAAUACUUUAUAAAGAUUAAUUACCUUCAUAUUUUAGGUUGGGGUUAAGGCAAAAUGUGAUAGAUUGAGAGGAAGAAAAUAUAUCUUGUUCAGGAAGCCAAUAUUUUGGAGUUCACCUUUCCAUUCGAGUCCACUCUGCUAUAGCAAAAUCAGAGUCACAACUAUGCCUCUUUAAGCUAUCCUUUAAUUGGAUGAAUUGCAGAUUUGGUUGCUGAGAAAGUGGAUAAGAAAGAAAAAUGCAUACUGUAGCUUGAGAUUAAGAGUUUGUUUUCUAAAAUGAGAGAAAGGGAAAGAGAAAAAAUGCAUAUUGUAGCUUGAGAUUAAGGGUUUGUUUUCUAAAAUGAGAGAAAGGGGAAGAGAAAUGUUCGACAACUUUGAGAUGACAAAUUUUUAGAUUUGGAAAAUUUGAGAUGAGUCUCAGGUUUUUUUUUUUUUUUUUUUGUCUUUGUCUUUGUUUUUUUUUUUUUUUUUUGUUUUUUUCCCAAAAACAACCUGUUAAUGUGGUUGUUGACAUAGAAGUGGGUGAGGGCAAAAUGGGCAUAGAAAAAAGAGUCAACACAAAGUGCACAAAACCCAUAUUAUUUUCCACAUUAAUGACUGAUUCUCAUAUUUCUUGUUCUUGGGAUUUGAAAACCAUAUUAUUUGCAAAUGGACCUCCCAAAGCACAGGUUUCCCUUAGUUUUAUGUCUCCAUCUACAUUUUACAUAUAAAUAGAUUAUUUUAUAAAAUUUGUUUUGUAGAUAUAUUAGUUAAUAAUUAUAUAAUUAAUGAUAUAGAAAACAUAUAAAAAUCAUAUUUAAAAAAGAUAAUUACAUAUUCCUCAACAAUCCAUCCCAAGAAUUCGAGGUUGAGUUGAAAACAUGUAGAGUCUUUGAUGUUAUUAUAAUCAUAUCCAACACAUAUGAUUAUUGUUUAUGAGAUAUUAUUAGAAAGUUUGUCUUAAAAUAAUUGAUUUAUUACCCACCUUUAGCAAAUGCCCAUUUUUGCGUCUUUCAAAAUUUUCAUUUUUUUUUUGUUUAAAAGAAGUAUUGUAAAGAAUGAUGAAAUAAGAAAUUUGUUGAGAAAGUGUGAGUAAAUAAUUUUACAUAAAAAGAGAUUUAAUACUUGAUAAAUAAAAUAAUAAAAUCAUGAUUUCUAGUUGUAUAGGGCCGGGUGGAUGGAGUGGCUAAGAUGUAAUUCUUGAAAUAGAGGAGACAACAUCAAUGUAUAAAAGUUUAACAGAGAAGGAAAGUGUGUUUGAAUGACUUUAUUUUCUUCAUUUAAAGUUUUGACGAUGAGUGUUUAUACAAGAUAAAUUUUCAAAUGAUAGGACUCCUAUUUACAUGGAGUUUGUGAUAUACUAUGAUUAUACAAAUUUAAAAUUCAAACAGAUUCAUGAGUUGAUAGGAGUCUGCUCAAUACGCCCCUUCAAAAUGGUGGGAGAUAGCACACCAAUCUUGACUCGAAGGGCCUAAACUCGUGCAGAAGAUGAGGGCUUUGUUAGAGCAUCGACAAGUUGAUCCGUGGUUGACAUAUGGGACACCUUGAGCUCACCUGAUUAAACCUUGUUUCAAACAAAAUGAAAAUCAAUCGCCGAUGUGUUUCAUGGAGAGUGAAACAUGGGAUUUGCACAAAGAUAUGUUGCACCCACGUUAUCACAAGAGAUAGGAGGUGGUGAUAAAUUUGAAACACUAAGUUUUGAGAGAAGAGAAUUAACCCAAAGAACCUUUGAGGCUGUAGAGGCCACGACGUGAUAUUUCGCUUCAGUGGAAGAGCGUGCUAUGAACUUUUGUUUCCUCGAUGACCAAUACACAAGAUUGUGACCAAGAAAAACAAUGGGAGCAUUGGUGGAGGAUCUGACAUAAGGAUUCCUUGCCCAUUCAACAUUCGAAUAUGCAUGUAGAUUGAUGGGCGAUUUCUUAUGCAAGAACAGACCAUGCACCAUUGUGCCGACUAAGUAUCUAAGCAAUCUUUUAACACAAGACCAAUGUGUUGAUGUUGGAUGGUGCAUAAAUUGAGAUAAUUUAUUCAUCAAGAAGGUGAUGUCAGGGCUAGUAAGAGAGAAGUAUUGAAGGCUUCCAACAAUUGACAUAUAUUUAGUGGGACCAGGAAAAGAGGUGUCAUCACACAGAUUUGGAACAUUGUUGAGGAACAUCAAUGAUUGAACUGGUUUGGUAGCCACCAUUUGUGUUUUCUUAAGAAGCUCUCGAAUGUACUUGAGAUAAAAAUAAUCCUUUGGAAGUAUGUAUCAUUUCAACACCAAGAAUAAAAGAUGAAGUCCUGAGAUCCUUAAUGGAGAAUUUGACUGCUAAUUGAGAGAUCACGCGAGCACGAAAAACAUUAUUGUUACUUGUUAAAAUAAGAUCAUCAAUAUAAAUAAGUAGGUAAACAAUGAGACCACUCUUUUUAAAAAUGAAGAGGGAUGUCUCGGUUUAGGAGUUGACGAAGGCUAUUGAGAGGAGAAAUUGGCAAAGUUCAUGAUACCAUGAUCGUGGAGCUUGUUUAAAGCCAUAAAAAGCCUUACAAAGUUGGCAAAUGUGAUGAUGUGUGUAUUCGUGAACCCAGGAGGUUGAAUCAUGUAAACAUCUUCAUGAAGUGUCCUAUGCUAGAAUGCAUUAUUAAUGUCCAAUUCAUGAGUUGAUAGGAGUCUGCUCAAUACAAUGUGGGAGUGUGAUUUCAAAAUUAGGGUAAUUUCGAAAUGGAUUUUGUAUUCACAAGUUGAAUUUCAAAAUUAUUUUGAAAUGGUCUUUUAACUUUAAGCAGUUGUGUUCAAAAGGUCAUAACUUCUUCGUUUCAAUUUUGAUUUACACAUUGUUUAAAACAUUGGACUCUUUACUUCCCGAGCUUCAAAACGAUAUAUAGUAUGCUCAAAAAUGACAUCAGGAUUGGUUCAAAUUUCAUCUUGAUAUUAGAGUACAUGUUGUGAUUAGAUUUUGAGUUCCAAAUUUCCAUGUAAACUUGAUUGCAUUUGCUUCAAACCUCCUUCAUUAUGGUUGCUUGCCCUCUAUCUCACUUUGCAACAUUUGUUACUAGUAUUUUAUGUCCAUGACUUACUCAUUUCAACCUUUCUUGGAUUCUUCAUGGUUCACAAAUUAUGGAUUCUUCAUGGUUCACAAAUUGAGUCUUUCAAUUAUGCAUGUUUAACUCCUAUUUCCUUGGUUGAUAAUGACUUUUACACUUAUCAUUUUCUUUUAUUCUUUAAACCUGAAUUUAGACUUACAAAAAAAAGUUAGAUCCAUAACUAGGGUCUUAGCAUCAAUUUGAGUUAAGUUGGAUGAUUUGAAAAUUUUAUAUUACAUAAAUCAUAUCAUACAUGUGCCAUUGGAGUGCACAUUUUGGCUCUAAUCAUGUUCCAACCCAUUGUUUUACUCUUGCAUGAAGUAUGUGGCCAUUGAUUUUAAUUUUAUUUGCGAUUAGGUUCAAAAUGGUGCUUUUGUGUUGCUCAUGUGUCAUCAGAAGAUCAACUAAUGGAUUCUCUAACAAAACUACUACAUCAUAGUCAUUUUUUUUUUUCUUAAGACCAAGAUUGAGAUCUCCAAUCGGAGCCAACUCCAUCUUGGGGGCAUGUUAGUGAAAGAUAAAAUUUAUCUUUAAUUUAAAUAUUAAUAUUUAUCAGUUAUUAGUUUUAAUUAGAGUAAAAGAUAGAGUUUAAAUUGGAGUAGGAGAUAAACUUGUGUUUGAACUAGAAUAGAAGAUAAAGUAUAAAGAUUUAUGUUUGAAUUAGAAUAAAAUAUAAAGUUUGAAUUAGAGUAGAAGAUAAACUUGUUCUUUAUUUGUAUAUAAAUAUUCAUCAAUUCUUGAGAAGAAGAUUAUUUCAUAGUUUUUCUAUCUUCUUUUUUCUUCAUACAUAUCUGCAAGAAAUUGAAGAUUUCAAGUAAAAUAUUUUCUGUUUUAAAUAGUGAAAAAAGCUAGAAAUUCACUUUGUUAUCUCUUGGGGUAAAUUGACAAGGUUUAACGUUAAGAAGGUGAAUUAUUUUUUCAGAAAAACUGAAGUAGCUAGGAUAUCUGGCCAGUUGUGAUCGAUAAAAAAGUUGUAAAAUCUCUCAUAUACUAAACAGGUUUUGGAUGUUGGUAUGGUAAAUCCAUCUGCAGUCAUUCGUCAUCUCAUCUAGUGAGAUGUUUGGGAGGUGGUGACCGCCGGAUUGGGUUUCAUUUGGUUAAAUCUGUCAGUGGGUUGGCUACUACCCGAGCCUCUUGCUUUGGGGGAGGUGGGUUCUAGAUAUAAUGUUCAAACCAUUUUAGUUAUCAUAUGCAUGACAUGUAAGCAUAAUCUCUUUAUCACUUCUUCAAUGGGAGUUCAUGGUUAGGAAUUGACUUCUUUUCUUCUGGGAUGCUUGGCAUGUAAUGGACAAAGUUACUUUUAUAUCGAUCGAAUUUCUAGUAUUAUAGUGAAGACUUACCCUUUUGACAUUUUAUAUCGAAUUAUAGAAGAUGAAAGGGACAUACAUGCAAUCGACUGACGCUUUAGUGAAUAUGCUGAAAAUAUGCUGAUGCUGUGGAGAUCGUAUGAGGACAGAGGAAAAAGAUAGAAAUGGAUAUAUAAUUAGACCUAGGUUUUUAUUAAAUGAGAUGGGGAACAUAGAGUGAGGGAAAAUCAAAAUUUUUGGCUGCAGUUCACAUUGGUGAUAUUUUGGAUUGACAAAGACUAACGACUUUUCUAUUUUUCUUUUCGGCCUGACUGGAUAGUUGGACAUGGACAAUACAGAAUCCACAGAAGGAUUGUUGGGACCGCUGAAAAUUAGCUAGAAGAAGCUGAGGAAGUAGUCUACGUAGUCAAAUACCAAACACAAAGAAAGAAAGAAAUGGAUAUCAUGGAUGCCUAGAGUUAUACUCCUAAUACCGUCACAGGUAUUUUUCUUUCCUCCUUUUUUUUUCUACGAUAAUUAGAGCAUUUCUCCUCCUCCUCCUCCUCCUCCCCCCACCCCACCACCAAAAAAUAAAAAAAUAAAUUAUUGCAAGUAACACUUCAAAUAUUAAUUUAUACAUUCUAAAGUAUAUAUUCAUGAAAUAACUUGAGUAUCAUACAUUAGUUCUCAAAAAAAAAAAAAAAAAAAAAAAAAAAUUACUGGAAGAGAAAAGUUUAAGAAAACAUAAAAAUAUUCAACUACUAUUUUAAAGAGAAAAUUUAAUUUUUACACUAUAAAUUUGAAGAGAACUUUUACAUGCAUCUUAUAUAAACUACCAUUUUUUGCUAAAAGGCUUAAAUUUGUCAAAAAUACCCCUUAGGUGCUUAACGUUCUGGUCAUAAUAUAAUUGGCAUCUUUUCUCAAACAUAAGGCCUGUGUGUGGGAACAAGAUUUAAUGUUAAUGAGCUUCGCCACCGACAUUUAGUUCCAGAAAUCAUUAUUUUAAUAGAGUGGGCUCAAUUUACAACUUUAAUUAAACUCUAACCAACUGCAUUGUGAAAUGAAUAUGUUUCUUUCGUGGUGAAUCCAAUGAGUUGGGAGUCAAACUUUGCUUCAUUGUGUAUAGAUGAAAUGUUAAGACUCCAUGUAACCUCAAACAUUUCCGCAAUNNNNNNNNNNNNNNNNNNNNNNNNNNNNNNNNNNNNNNNNNNNNNNNNNNNNNNNNNNNNNNNNNNNNNNNNNNNNNNNNNNNNNNNNNNNNNNNNNNNNUUCUUUCGUGGUGAAUCCAAUGAGUUGGAGUCAAACUUGCUUCAUUGUGUAUAGAUGAAAUGUUAAGACUCCAUGUAACUCAAACAUUUCCGCAAUGAGCGGGAGUUCUAAAUUUAAUAAUUGAAAUUGUCAGUGGAACCAGUGGACAAGAGUUGGUUUGUGGUUGACAAACUUAUCCGUUUGAUCUUUACUUGAACAGUUCCAGUGUGUGGAUGGGUACUGAUGAAGUGUGCGCAUUUAUUUUGAGAAGCCUGCUUGUUCGCAUAGAUUUUAACGACAUGAACAUUGUGGUAAGGUUAGAGAGUAAUGCGAAUGUAGGAGCUUAUAUUAGAAAUGACACAAACACGUAAAUAGAAGUAAUCUAUAUAUGAUAUUACUCAUGGACUACAAGCAAAGAAGUACAAUACAUGGAGUAAGUGAUGAAAUGAGCAUUCCUCACUACUACUGCUUGACUGAUGGAACAUGAUGCACGAGAUAGCAUAAGUAGUAGUAGGAAGCAGCUCUUAUUUGUGGCGUCGGUAUACAUCAUACUAGGUAGAUGGUUCAAUUGGCAUGGAUGGGUGGUGGAGCCUUGAAGUGCUUGUGAUGGGGAGCCCACGGCUUCUUCUCAGGAGUUGGUGGCUUCUUGUAUGGAGUUGAUGGAGGUGUUUCUACUGGAGGGUGGCCAGGGUAGUGACCCUGGGGUGGUGAAGGUUCUUUUGUCGGUGGUGGCCUCACUAUUAUUGGCGGUAGAGUUGGUGGCUUGGGCGUUGGCGGUGGUCUCACUACUCUUGGGGGUAGAGUUGGUGUCUUGUGUUUUGGUGGUGGAGGUGGCUUAACAGGAGUUGGUGGCUUGUAUUCUGGGGGUGGUUUCUCCACCGGAGGUGGCUUAUAAACUGGAGUUGGUGGCUUGUAUUCUGGGGGUGGCUUCUCCACUGGUGGUGGCCUGUAAACAGGGGUUGGUGGCUUAUAUUCUGGGGGAGGCUUCUCCACUGGAGGCGACUUAUAAACAGGGGUUGGUGGCUUGUAUUCCGGGGGUGGCUUCUCUACGGGAGGUGGCCUGUAAACAGGGGUUGGUGGCUUCUCCACCGGAGGUGGCUUAUAAACGGGGGUUGGUGGCUUGUAUUCUGGGGGUGGUUUCCCCAGUGGUGGAGACUUGUAAACAGGAAGAGGUGGUUUGUGCUCAUAUGGGGGUGGCUUGUGGUCAUUAGCAAGUGAGGGAGUGGUGAGGACCACCAAUCCAAGGAACAACACGAGUGAGCAAGCAGAAGACAUGUUUGGGCUCUGGUGAUGCACAAGUAGAAGAAAUGGGAACCAUUUAUAAUGCUUCGAGACCUUGGUUAGCACCAAAAUAUGUCAAAAUCUUGAUUACUUCAUUUCAUACAUAGAUUUAAAAUUAUUUCAAUCAACCAUGAUCCUUAAUUUUCUGGGUGGUCCAUAAAUGUAAUGGGGUCAAUUUGGGACCUAACAAGCUGAGAAGUUUGACAAUGCUGCAAGGCUUCAUCCGAAAGUCCGGGGAAGAAUAUUAGGAGUUACACUCCGUUUCCUUUUUUGGGUGCAUUUUUCUCCUUUAACAUUCUAUUCCCUUUUACAUUAGCAUUUGAUCUUAGCUCAUUUCAAGUACAAGUUUCUUGAACCCUAUACCAUUGUCAAAGUUGAGUAACCAUCUCUACUUUGCUCAAGAAACAUAAAAGACAAUGACAAUAAAGAAAAAGGAGAGAGACCAUACGUGACUUGGUUUAUAGGUGGCUUUGUGUUGACAUUUGAGUAUGGAAGCCGACAUGCAUCUUAGCUUCGAUUUUAAUUAAAUUUGUACAUUAGUGUCUGUGUCAUUCAUUUUGGUAUAAAAGGUCUCUUGAUUUCGUAAGUUUGGUAAGAACCGUUGAAAAUAGCAGUAGCAGCACAUGGUCCACUUUCUUUCACAAAAUAAUUUUAAAAGUUUAGAAGCAUAGGAGGUAACAUUAGUGGCCUUGUGGCUCAGCCACGAGUACUAUGUGGUGCUCGAGAAAUUGAGUUUAAUUUCCUUCCGAUAGUUCAUGAUAAGGUCCGUCACUGUCCUGAGACAGAUUGCGUUUUUUCUUUUUUCCUUUUUUAGUGUUUUAUUGACUAGCUAGGUGUGACUUUUCCUACUUUAAGGCACGAGGCAGAAAAGAAACUGGGAUUUAGUGCUUAAGAAGGCAAAUUUAAUUCGAUUUGGAUCUAAAAUUUGCCAGCAACAUGAGAUUUUCCAGCCUAUCGUUGCUCCACAUAUAGACAAGGCACUUGUAGAAGUGGCUUGUUUGUAGCCAUUCCCGAUAUUUGGACUCACUUGAUUCACCGGACACUUUGAUAAAAUUUAAUAUUUAUUAUUUAAUAAUUUAAAUUGAUUUAAAAUUAAAUUAUACCGAAGUUGUGAUUUAAAAAUUAUUAUUUAAUUCUUACUUUUAAAUAUGAAGAUUAUUUGAUAAAAAUAAUUUAAAAUUUAUUAUAAAUUAUCAAAUUAACAUAUUUAUCCUUAUAAAUUAUAAUUAAAACAGAAAAGGUCAAAUGAUUUGAGUAUCCAUAGAUGUGGUAAAAUAAUAAAAAAGAUUAUAAAAACAAUUAUGAUAAAUAAAGAUAAAAAGUAAAAUGAAUAUGUGAAUUUAAAGAAUAAAUUAAUUAUUUUUAUUUAUUACUUAAAAUUAUUUUUGACUUUAAAUUAUAUUAUUAAAUUAUUUUACCAAACAUACUUAAUUUAGUUAAUAAUUUAAAUUUAAUUUAAGUUAUUAAAUUGAUUCACCAAAUACCCACUUAAUCAAAGACUGAAGUAUACAUUAUUUGGCCAAAUGCAGCUAUUGAAAUUUAACUUUUUCCAAACUUAUUCAUUUUGUGGAAAUAUUUUUAGAAAUGAUUUUAAAAAUGCACUAUUCUGUGUGUUGAUUUUAUAUUUUGGCAUUAAUCCAACAUAGAAAACGGUUCUUAUUUUCGCUGUUAAAUAGGUACCAGAUCCUUAAUUAGUGCCGUGAAUCCGGCAGCUUCCAAUGAGUAAUUUGGACUUGGGUAUUGACAAUGUGUGGCCAUGCUUCUACUAUUUUAUUAUUCUUGAAACAUAUAUGAUAUAUUGGACUUUAUACAGGGAAAAAAAAAAAAAAAAGUCUUCACCAAAAAUGAUUCCUCCUAAAAAAUAGACUCCACAAACUAGGUUUAACAGGAAAAUGAUUCUAAUCUAGUAGUUUCCAGCCACAUGAGCAUUUACGUAACAAUAGUAUAGUUGAUAACGACUUUUAUUUUAUUUAUUUUUAAAUAGUUAAAGGGAUAAUUUUUGAGCUUAAAUUUUAUUUUUUUAUUUAGAAACAUUUUACUUUAUUUUUUAAUCAUAAUUCUAUUAUAUUAAUGUUUUAUUUUCUAUUUUUUAAUAUAUAAGGAGAUACUAAAUUUAUGUGAUUAUUUUUUAAAAAUUUAGUAUAUGAAAUUAAAUAAUUGGAUAUAUAUACAUAUAUCAUAUAAUGUUUUUUAAGUGUGAUUUUUGAACUUUUUAGUCAUUUUAUAAGUUUAAGCUUUUGAUUUUUUUUUUUAAACUUUGGUAUUUUUUAUUUUAUAUAAAACUAUUUUGAUUUAAUUUUAUUAAAAAAUAUUGGUAUUAUAAAUUAUUGUAUUAAUUAUUUUUUUAUAUUAUAAUGUAACUGGUAUAUACUAAAAAAUGUAUGCAAGUUCAAUUUAAGUUUCAAAUUAAAAAAUUUCAUUUAAAUAUUUAAUAACUUGUUCAUAAUAAAAAAUUAAACAACAUAAUACAAAUGAAAAGAAACAUAAAAGAAAAAGGAAAAAAUGGUCCUCUCUGUGUGUCACAUUACUAGGUCAUCCUCUUUUUCUAUGACCCUUACAAUAGAAUGGCAUAUUUGUCAAAUCUACUUAUGAAAGUUGGAAUGUUUCUACAUGUGUAGGGUCCAUUGGAACUAAUGGAGGAAAGGCUUAACGUCUAUGUAAAUCACAACGUUGCCUAGGUGGGCAUAGAUCUAGUUGUGUAACAUGAGAUGGUGUGAGAGUACAAUAUAUGCAUUGUAGUCUCUAUGGGAAGAGAGAUAGGUAAUGGUAGGGUGGUAGACGGUAGGGUGAUCUCUAAUAUAAUGACAUUUGAUGUGGUGGCUUCUAAGAGAGGAGAUAUAAGAGAUGGUAGAAUGACAUUUGGUGUAAUGGUCUCUAGUGCAAUGACAUGUGAUAUGGUGACCUAUAAAGAAGAGAUAUAGGUGAUGGUGAAGUGGUAUGUGGUGUAGUGACCUUUGAGAUAGAAAAUAGAGGUAAUGGUAGGUUGGCAGGUGGAGUGGUCUUUGGUGUAGUGACAUCAAUUAUAAAUGUCUCCAAGGGAGGAAAUAAAGGUGAUGGUAGGUAGUAAAUGUUGAGGUGGUCUUUGAUAUGUUAUGCUCUAAGAGAGAAGGUAUAGGUAAUGAUAAUAGGGAAUUUGACAUAGUGGUGUUGGAAAUAAAAAGUGAAAGUGACCGUAGAGGUGAAAGGGCAAGUGUAAAAGCCUCAAGUACGAAUGGAGUAAUUAAUGUGGAUGGUGCUAACAUAGUCUUAGGUGGAUACACAAAUAGUCAUAGUCAUCAACUAGCUUGCCCACCAUCUGUCUUUCUGCUAGUGAUAGGUUACAUCUUAAUAGUAAUGGCCAACAUAAGUGGUGUGGAUCCGAUUUUUUUACGUGUGUCCCCACUCAAUCGACAAGACUUAUUUUUUAUUAGUGAAAAAUUAAUUUUGGAAAAGUUGGAGUCACCACUUAUUUUAUUUUAUUUUAAAAAGGAAAGUAAAACAAGAAAGAGAACUCUAAAGAAGUGACUUCAUAGUUUUGGAAAAGUUAGUCUUAAAAAAUCCAAGUCUUGGUCCGGAGAUCAGGUUACUUAUUGGGAAGAUACCUCUAAGAGGUAAUACCCCUCUAAACCCUAAAGAAGUCUCUAAUGACUAAGUUGAGGAGAAUGUGGUAAUUAAUUAAUUGAUUGAGGGUACCUAGGUAGACUAAGGUGAUUUCAGAAUUAACAUACCAAGCUAGAAAGUCCAAUCAUGAUCAUAAAAGAGAGUCAAAGUAUGUACCUGAACUGCUUCUCAAACGCUAUCAUAAAACAUCAAAGUUAGUAUAGAAAUAUAACACAUAAUAUUUGUUUUAUCCAAGCAAAUAAAGCAUACAUCUAAGCACCCAAGAAUCACAUCAAGUAUGGAUAUAGUCAUCAAUAGCAUACGUGUCCAUAGAACUAUCGAAAGUAAAUGUGGAGGAGCGUAUCUGGACAACAUAGAUAACUUAUAAUGUGCUUCCACAAGACAUGGGGGUUAGAUAAAAGUUAUAAUAAUAAUUAGUAAAUGAAAGAAUUCUAGCAUGUUUGGUAUCUAAAUAACAUAGCAAAAAUGAACAAGAGUACACGAAAACAUCAAUUAUCACACGAGUCAUAUUGGCUAGUAUUUAAUCAAUAAACCAACAAUAAAUGACUAUAAACAUAUAAAAUGACAUAUUCAAAGAGACCCAAACAUAAAGAGCCUAGAACACAAGCUUACACUAAAUUUAGAAAACUAAAACAUGGAAUUUUAAAAGCAUAAAUUAGCAAACAAAUUGAUGGAAACUAAAUUUAGAUAACUUAAGAAUAUUUUUCUUAUCCUUCAAUUUAAAUCAGUAAGCCAACAAUAAAAAAUUAUAGAAACAUGGAAUAUCAAGAUCAAUGGGAUACCUAAACUAUAAUUUUUAAAAGAAAAUAAACUAAGCAUAAUAUCUACAAAGCAACUAAACUAACAUUUUUUUAAAAAUAAAUUAAACAUGACAUUAAUGGAGUAACCAAACUAAAUUAAAGUAAACUAAAAACAUUUAUGAAUUUUCAAACAUGGAAUCAGCUUUCUUAGUAAAUUAAAAUUAUUAAAAUAAAAUCUAAGCUUAAAAAUGAAUUAAAUACUAACUAAAGCAAAUCUAAAACCAAAUAUUUAACACAUAGGAUCAAUUAUAUUAACAAACUAAAAUUUUAUAAGAACACUUAAACCUAAAGUUGAAUUAAAAACUAACCAAUUUUUAAAACUAGAUCUUUAACCCAUAGGAUCAAUUAUAUUAACAAAUAAAUAAUAAAUAAUAAAUAAAUAAAACUCAAACCUAAAGAUGAACUAGAAAUGUACCAAAGUAAAUUCAAAACAAGAUCUUUAACACAUUAGAUCAAUUAUAUUGACUAACUAAAAAAAAAAAAAAAAAACACUCAAACCUGAAACGAUGUAUUAGAAACUAACCAAAGCAAAUUUAAAAUAGAGUCUUUAACACAUAGGAUCAAUUAUAAUCACUAACUUAAAUUACAAUUUUUGAAACAUGAACUAAUUAGUGUUGGAUUAAUUAAACUAAUUAACUAAAAAAAACUAUAAACUAGAAUACGGUGAAUCAAGAAUUCAAAUCAACAAACAUAAAAUAUGGGUACAAUGAAAUGAAAAUCUAUUAAACUAAUAAGACGGAAAUAUGACAAACUCAUGAACCCACAUUUUGAUCAACUAGGAAAUAGAAAUUAAUAGACCUGUAGCAUGGAUACAAUGAAAUGAGAUCAGUUAAAUUUAUUUGCCGAAAUUCUAAAAAACACAUACACUCAAAUAAGAUCUAAAUCUAAGACCAAGCAAAACUCAAACUUUCUCAAUCUAAUGCAAUGAAUCAAAACUAAAAUUAAAUAGAAAUCAAACCAUUUUUUUUUUAUCUAAUAUAAUAAAUCAAAGCUAAAACUAAACAAAAUCGAAUUUUCUUAAUUUAAUAUGAUGAGUCAAAGCUAAAAUUGAACAAAGUUCAAACCUUUAUAUAAUGGAUCAAAGUUAAAUCUAAAUGAAAUCCAUACUUCCACAAUUUGAUAUAACAAAUCAAAAAUAAAACUAGAUAAAAAAAAAGUCAAAGCCUUUCAACUUGACAUAGUGAAUCCAAACUGAAACGAAACAAAAUUUUAACUUUUCCAAUGAAACCCAAUAUAGAAAAAAUUAGCUUACCUUCUUUAGAAUAUAUGUAUGGGCCAUAAAGAAGUCACCUUGGUGCAUGUGUUCCUCACUUUGACGCCAAUGGACGACUUUCUAUGGUAGCAAAUGGAGAUCCUUUUUGGUGGUAACUUGCGUGUGGAAACCUAUGGUACAACCAAUGUCAUCUUUUAUUGUGCGUGUGGACCAAUUUCUUCUCGAGAACUCAUGUGUGUUGUGCUCAAAAUAUGUUGCCUGUGAGAAUCUAUUGGUAUACCCCACAUAUGGUUUCCUUGAGAGAAUCUGUGGUUGUGUGUGGGCGUUUUCUUCAUGACAGCAUGUGGAUGUUCCCAUCUAUGGUAGAUUGGUUGUGAUGCUUUAGUGCAUGGUCUCCAUAGGAAUAGUGUGUUAUGGAAAUUUGGUUUUUUUAUUGGUGCAUGUUGUCUAGACUUUCCCAUAUGCGUGGACUGUGUGUUCAUGCUUUUCUUUUCGGAUGGUCGCCUGUGUUAAUGUGUGGCGGUGUCUACAAUGAAAGAUACAACCCUUUCUCUCCUUCUGCGUGAUAGAAAAGUCAAUCCCCCAUGGUGCGACUAUGUUCCCUCGUCCUUUUUGAAAAAUUUUGGUGUUUUCCCCCCAAAAAAUCCCCUCCAAAAAUCUAAUUAUAAAUGUCUGCUUUGGCCUAAUGUGUGUGCUACUUUUUUUUUCCUUCUUUUUAUGGUUGUGCGUGCUUUUCUUGAUACGUGGCUUAUUUCUUAAGGAUAUGAUUCGCUCCCAAUUGGUGUCUCAGCUGAUUCAUGUCCUUUCAAUGGUCCCUGACAGUGGUGCCAUUUGAUUCGUGUCCAGCUGGUGUCCCUUGAUUGUGGUCCUCAGAAGGGAGUAAUCAAUAAAAUUUAUAACCUAUUACACCAUGUAUUAGGAUAGCCUUAGCUAGCAUAGCAUAGUGGCUCUAGGGUCGUUUAUUGGGAUGAGUUUUCACUUCACAAUUGAUAUUAAUUCAAGAGCUGAAUUGGUGCCUUUUCAUUUCAAGGUUAGCUUUAAAAGAAAACAUAAUCUUUGGUGGAAAAAGGUUUGGUUUUAAACUAACCAAAAAUAGUAACUGAUUUUACUUACAAAGAAAAGUGUUCUUUGGAGUUUAGAUCACUAGGCUCAGGUUCCUCAUACAAAAAGGAGAGUUCCGAUCAUUUGUUUCUUUUCCUCGCAUUAGAGAAUUAACAUAUAGUUAAUUCUCUAACCGGUGCGGUACAUAUGCUUCCCAUUAAUGGGUUCAAACACUAAAUACCUCUCACUGAUGCACCUUGCAAUGGCUCGUGCCUCUCACCUAGCAUUUAUCAUUCAAGGUGAUCUUUAACCUUGGAUUACCCAUCAAAAGCUCGCAAGAGAUAACUAAAGGAUGUCUCCUUAGAGUCCAAAAGCUUACCAAGUGUUGGUUAUUCUAGAAAAUCCUACCUUCAAACCACCUCCCAAAGGCUCGCAAGAGAUAAACAAGUGCAUCUCAAUGGAUGAAGAUCACUUGCCUUACCAAGUUUUGGCCCAGAUGAUUUAAUGACAUUUUAAGUUAACUAAAAAGAUAAAAACCAUUAACGGGUCACACUUUCUCUUCAUUAAAAACUAAAACAACAAAACUUCCAAUUUAUGCAUGAGGAAACUUACCUGGCUUUCUUCACUUCAAGAGAUGAAGAGCCUAGCCACUCAUCAUUUGAGGAAAAAUCCUCAGAGUUUGAUUUGCUAGAAAUAAAAAUAAUGAGAAAACAAAAAUAUAUAUAUGAAAAACAGAGCAAGUUCUCUGUAAUAUAUUUUUCUUCCUUAUACAAAAGGUUGUCUCUAAGAACAAGUUCCCGAGAUCUAUCUGAUUGUAAAUAAAAUUACAACUAUAUAUAAGAGGUUAUUCACCCCUUUGUUCUUUCUUAAAGACUAAGGAAUCCUAUGAUAGGUGGGUUACAAGGAGAGUUUGGGGAUUUAGACAUCAAAUAUCUAAAGCAAAAUAUCUCAAGAUGUUAGUCGGAAAUAUCAGGAAGCUUCAGGAGAACACCGCGACACUGUAUACUGAGAGAAAAACUCUCCGGGUAAGCUCUAUCAAAGGAUCCAGACAUGUCUGACUGGGAAAGUUGAAACGUCCUUCUCUCCCAUCCGGAUGUGAGAUAUCCGGAGAAAGUGAAAUGUCGGUCGGACAGAAUUCUUUCCCCGGGUGGAAUGAGUUGUGUUGCGCGUCGCAAGGGGGACCGUCUGCGUGUACAAGUUGUAGGGACCCCUCUCCCGGAUGACACCGAGCGCGUAAGGCUAUCCGGAUCAACUCCAUUCGGAUUCCCCAAGAGGACAUGUGGCGUGCUCCCCUAUCAGGACUCCCUUAGGGAGAAGCACACGACACUCGUGAACAUCAUACCCGGACGAUAGCAUGUCCUAUCCGGAUGUGUUGUCCGGAUCAUUGACUAAAGUGAGCAAGCCUUGCUACGUCAUUCGGACAGCUUGCCACAUACCAUGUUCCGUCGCCAUCUGAUGGUGUGUCCGAACGCCUUGUCCGGACAUCUUUUGCUCCUUGCAUUCCGGAUUUGCUUAUGACAAAGGACUUCAAAGCUUCGGUUCUUCAUGUUUCUGAGCUUUCCAUUGCUUUGCCAUGGAUUCCAAAGAACUCUCCUUAAUCACGGAUUGCUUUGGUGAUCAAAAAGUUAUCAAAACACAAAAACUUAACAUAGUUUGAUUAGAAUUGAUUGCAAGGGUUCUUAAUAUGUUAAUUGGGUUAAAAGGUGAUAACUACUACUCAAAAGUGUUUAUAAGAAUUAAUUACAAGCUAUGAAAUAACACUUUUUGAGUAGUAAUCAGGAUACAUCCUAGUUUUUCAUGGAAUUGAUAGUGGGUUGUUGUGCAUGAAUGCCACCAUUUCAACUAUGCUGUUGUUAUUUUUAAAAAAAAUAUGGAUUAUGCGCGAGUGGCAAUUCUCCACUAUGGAAAGUGGAUUGCUCCUUCAACCCAUGCAUGGCUACGUAUUCCUAUGUCUUUCUACUUGUGUUUGAUCCUCCAAAAAAAAUUUCGGUUUAGUGCUAGUAGAUUUUAAGUGGUGGAUCCCCAUUUUUUGAAAAUGAAGUGGCAGCCUCCCAUUUCAAGACAAAAUGGUAGCCUGCCUUUAAUCUUUGGAGAAAAAUCUGUGCAUGACCUUUUUUUUUCCCAAAAAAUCCGUGCAUGGUGUCCUUUAAUAUUUGGAGAAAAAUCUAUGUUGGAUCUUUUCUUUUCUAGAAACAUUUGUGUGGUCUUUUUUGUUAGCCCAAGGGUUCUUCUAAUCAAGUUUUGAUGAUAACAAACCAUGGUUAAGUGACUAAUUGGUUUAAUGAUUAAGAAUCUCAAACAUAAAAUCGAAAAUUCAUCAAAGGACCAAAUGGAUACAAGAUCGAGACGCUUGGAAGACUUGUAAUCAUAGGAAACUAAUGUAAGAUGAAUGCAUGAGUGCACUUAGGAUUUUCACACGUUUCAUGCAACUUAGAAAACCCAGUUUAUUCUUUAAAACUUCAUCCCAGUUUAUUCUUUUUAUGGUUGUGUGUGCUUUCCUUGAUACGUGGCUUAUUUAUUAAGGAUACAUCCCAGUUUUUCAUGGAAUUGACAGUGGGUUGUUGUGUGUGAAUGCCACCAUUUCAACUGUGCUGUUGUUAUUUAAAAAAAAAAAAAAUGGAUUGUGCGCGAGUGGCAAUUCUCCACUAUGGAAAGUGGAUUGCUCCUUCAACCCAUGCAUGGCUACGUAUUCCUAUGUCUUUCUGCUUGUGUGUGAUCCUCCAAAAAAAAUUUUGGUUUAGUGCUAGUAGAUUUUAAGUGGUGGAUCCCCUUUUUUUGAAAACUAAGUGGCAGCCUCCCAUUUCAAAACGAAGUGGUAGCCUGCCUUUAGUCUUUGGAGAAAAAUCUGUGCAUGACUUUUUUUUUCCCAAAAAAUCCAUGCAUGGUGUCCUUUAAUAUUUGGAGAAAAAUCUAUGUGGGAUCUUUUAUUUUCUAGAAAAAUUUGUGUGGUCUUUUUUGUUAGCCCAAGGGUUCUCCUAAUCAGGUUUUGAUGAUAACAAAUCAUGGUUAAGUGACUAAUUGGUUUAAUGAUUAAGAAUCUCAAACAUAAACUCGAAAAUUCAUCAAAUGACCAAAUGGAUACAAGAUCGAGACGCUUGGAAGACUUGUGAUCAUAGGAAACUAAUGUAAGAUGAAUGCAUGAGUGCACUUAGGAUUUUCACACGUUUCAUGCAAUUUAGAAAACCCAGUUUAUUCUUUAAAACUUCAAUUUCAUUAAAACCCGAGUUUUUAACUAAUGUACCUUAGGCAAAAUGUUUUAUAAUUGGCUUAAUAAUUCACCUAAAUACAUUUUCUAAGUGUUAGAAAAGAAAGGAAUUAAAAAAAGGUUUUCGGGGCAAAAAAGGCUCAACCGGUCGAGGCUAUGGUCAACCGGCUCAACCGGUUGAGGAACCAAUCGAUCGGUUGUGCUUGUCCGAUCGAAGACCAAUCGAGGGAUGCCAAAAAAUUUCUCUCUCUCCUAGUGGCCUUCUCUUCCCGGUCGAGGUUCGGUCUAGGCAACGGUAACAUGUCAAGCAUUAAAUGCUCCGACGACUAGUGAAUCGGUCGACCCCUAGCCCGAUCGGACGAGGUUGCCUUUUGCUGUUUUUGACUCCCGAGCUUAGAAACCUAUAAAUUGAGAGCUCCACUUCAUUUAUUGAUAAAAGAGAACACUUGCAUUCAAUAGUCUACCUACCUUUUCUUGAUCAAAAAGCUCUCAUUUCCUUCAUAGUGCAUUAAAUCAUCACUUGCAUAUCCUUUAGUGCACUAUUGUGUGUCAUCCUAGCUUUGUUUUGUAUUUGAGCUAUCCUUAAGCUAGGUUGAGGGAUUAUUUCUUAUAAAAAUCUGAGUGUUAAAGCCUUCAAGAGAUUUGAAUCUUGAAGAGAUUGUGUAAGAGCCCAUUGGAGCCGGAGUCCAAGUGUAAGAAGAUUGGAAGCUUGGUUGAAGCUUCAAGUUAGUGGAACCCUCACUCGGUUAGGAGGUUGAGGAGAGUGGACGUAGGUAAGGAAGUGUCGAACCAUUAUAAACCCGAGUUUGAAUUCUCUAACUCUAUCUCUUUAUUUUGCUUAUAUUGUGUUUGAAUUUGUUGUGAUUGAAAAGAUUUUAAAAACCUAAUUCACCCUCCCCCCUUUUGGGUUUUUUUUUCUUAAUUAAGCAUAACCUUUGUUUUCUAAUUUUCUUUUUAGGAAAAUCCAUGCGUGGUAUGUCCAAACUCUCCAAGUGGCAGUCUGCCUUCUUCUAAAAAAUUUGUUUCUAUUUCUUUAUUCGACUACCUUCCAUGUCUUCCUAAUGAGUGCUUGUGCUCAAUGGUCAAUCCCUGGUGGUUGCCUCCUUUUCCCAUAUAUACGUGUUGCAAAAUCAACAUCCCACUAUAUGUGGGUUGCCUCUAUGGCAAGUUCACAUUUCCCACAUGAAACCUAUGAGUUUCCACCAAAAAUUGCCAUGAAAAAGUCUUUAUAUGCAUCUCAUGCAAUAAAAAGUCAAGCCAAUACUCAUCUUAUCUCGAAAAAUAAGUAACCAAAAUCAAGAUCAUGCCUAAGUGAACUAUGCCAAAAGAAGUGUCCAAGUGACCUAUUAUGAAAAAAGUGCCUAAGUGACCUAAGGUGAAUGUGUGUAAGCUGGAAGGUGUCUAGGAUGUUUAGGACAAUGCCUAAGCCUAAAAUAGGGUUGCCAAGGGUCACAAUGGGGUUAGAUAAAUCUCUCAAUCAGAGUCUCCAAGGUGGCUCAUAAAAGAUAAGCUACACGAGUAAUGAUGGGCCACCAGGGAAUUAUUGUAAAGCACCAAACGAACACAUAAUAGGACAUGUGUUAGAAUGAAAAAAUGGAGGGUUUACAAGUGGUCUCAUGGAUGAGCUUGAUAAUUUAAAUGACUCACAUAAUGAACGUAUGUGAUGUUUCUCUCCAAUAACAAGCAAAACAUCACUAGCAAUAUGAUGAAUGUCUCCUAAAUCACUUGAAGUAGUCCUAGCAAAUCAAUUAGAAAAAUCACACAUAUUGCUCUAAUGUAAUAUUAUAUACAUCUGUCAAUGAAUGGGAGAACUAAUGACACAACCAUCAUGUUGAUAUCUCGAACCCUCUAAUCUCAUAUGUAGGUGGGAUCACACUUAGAAACUCAUAACACAGUAAUGACCAAUCUAAGUCAAAAUGUGUUGGUGAUCGGAGGCCCAUGAAUAUGAAGUUCUAGGAUGAUAAUGACAUCUUAUAAAGUAAUGAUCAUCUCCUUAAUAGAUAGGUGAAAUGUGUGUGUCUUAGGACACCAUCUCUCAACAAGACUUGUGAUCAAUCCCCAGUCUAGUGUAACAUGCCUAUUAUGACAUCCAUCGUAAAAUCUAGACUAGAUAAUAUAAGGACAAAUGUGAGGGUUCAUCUCCCUUUCCCACAUAAAUUUAAAAAAUUAUUAUUGACAAGUUAAGACCAAACUAAGUUGCAAAAUAUAAAUAAGUCCAUUAGAUAACAAAUUUAUGUUUUCUCAUUUUCUCAUUUUUAAAGAGAUAUUAUGUGCUUCCAUGUACAUACAUGCUAAAGUCAAUUAUACGAGACUUAUAUCCAUCUUGUAGAACCAAAUCGAACCUAUCUAAUAGAUCCAGAUUAGAAGUAUGUCCUCUAUACUCCAUAUUUAUAACACAUUUAUAAAGAUAAAUGCUAAAAAAAUGUUAAAGAUAUAAAUUUAAUGAACCAUACUUUAUGAUUUUAAUUCUCAAUUAUUGUUCAUAUUUAUAAGAGAAAAGUUAAAAAAAUUGAUAGAGUUUUCCCUCUAUCAUGGACAUUAUCCCAAAUAAAAAUAAAUUGAUUAUGCAAAUUACAUUAAUAUUUGUAACCAAAUGAUCAAUAACUAUCUUGUAUCAAUUUAGUAAAUAAAUUUAAGUAUAUCUUUUCAUUUAUGACUAACAAAUAACUCAUACUUGUCCAAUAAAAGCCACACCUAAUUUCUAAAAUUUUGUCUUCACCUCAAGUGAGUGUUACAUUGAGAAAGAAAAAAUAUGAAAGAAAAAAUGAACACCUUUUUCUUUUAAUAAAAAAAGGCCAUAACGAAACAUUAAAUCUCACUGUUACACCUAUCUUCAAUGGAAACAUGAGGAUGUGAAUGGUGGCGGUGAUAUUCUUUGCUUGAAGCUCAUAAACAAAUAUUCCUUACUAAGCCUAUGCCAUUUAGUAUUUCAAUAGUGGACCCCCCCCCCCCCCCCCCCCCCCUCCUUGCAUUUCAGAUUUAGCAAACUUAGAACCAAAUAACAAAGUGCAUUUGAACCCAUAAAGAAGUAAUGAGACUCUCCUAUAUUGGCAAUAGAAGAAAUUUUUGGAGGUAUAGGAGAUUCACGGAUGAAGAAGUUGGGCCCCAAUUGAGAUAAGACCCAAGAAAAGAUGGGGUAGAGAGGGAUGGUUGGAAAUUGUAAAGUAAGAUUUUCAAAAUGUAGUUGAUGACUAAGAUUUUGACAAUUUAAAAAAGGUUUAAAAAUGUAGUUAGCAAUCGGGGUUUUGUAACAUUUAAAAAAUAAAAUAAAAUCUCAGGCCACAUGGUAGCCCAUGUGAUUCAGAAGCUUGAGAAUUAUUUUAUAAGAAGACUUAAUUUGUGAUUUUUUUAUAACUAUAUUAUUUUUUUUCUUAACACACGAAAAAAAUUAUGAAAUAAGACAAUUUUCCUAAGAAAGCAUGUAAGUGACUCUUGGUUAUUUUAUUUAACUUCUUCUAGUUUGGAGAGGAUUAAUACCUUUGCUUUUACUCACUUGCUUGGAUAUGUACACGUUGUUCAUGUCACUUUUCAUUUAAUUUUCUGAUUAAGGGAAUUGGAACCGUACGUAACUGUCUUUAUUCCCUCUGAAACUUGGACUUGGAGUUGGACUUUCAAUCUCAUCAGUCGUGUUUCCAUAAAAAAGAAGAUGGAUUAACCAAUUUUCCUAUGCCUACUAAUCAUACACAAAACUCCACUUCCAAAUAAAAAGGAAUGGGAUAUCACUUGUUAAUAGUGGCUAAAGACUAUUAAUAACCAUGCAAAGAAAUGUCACAUUUUUUGUUCUACGCAAAUUUUAUUCAUCAACUACUAGAACCAUUUCAUACAAUAGUAGCUUUUCGAUCCUUUGAUAAAUGGACACUUGAUGUGAUAACACCAACUACACCUAUAUAUUCAAGCAAUCAUGCGUAUAUAAUAGUGGAUAUGGAUUACUUCUCUAAAUGGGCAAAAGUUUUGUCAUUCAAGGAAAGUGAACGAGGAAACACAAGUUUACUUUCAUCGGAACUAAUAUUAUAUAUUGAUAUGACUUCCCAUUAUUACUUACGAUGGAAUAUGCUUCCAUAAAAUGGCCUAGAUGAACAAACUAUCCAAGAAGUUUGGGAUCAAAUAAUAUAUAUAUAGUUCAUGUGUGAUUCUUUGGUUGACAACCUUGUUAAGGGGUGAGUGAAGCACUUUGGGCAUACCACAUACUACAUGCUAGACUUCCACCCAAGCUACCCUAUAUUCCUUAUGAACAAAGUAGAAGUUGUCAUCUCUCUUGAAUACCAAAUCCUUUCACCUAAUAAUGCUAUCUAAAAAGGUCUUAAAAAGGAUAAAAAUGCGCAUAUUUGAAUUUUUGAAUUAGGAGUGCUACUUAAAAAGAAGCUAGAUAUACAAUAAUAGAAUGUUAUCAAGCAUAUCUCUUCAAAGUUUUUGACCAAAAAAUAUAUGAUUUCUCAUUUUAGGUAGGAGACUUAGUACUCACUAUUCAAAAACCAAUUAUCAUUACUCAUAAAAACUAAUAGAAAGUUUGGGCCAAAGUAGGAUGGACCUUAUAUUAUGCAACAAUUAUGCCUAUAAAAUUGUUGCAAAAGAGGUUUUAGAAUCAAAUCAAUGAAUGAAAAAUUAUUAAAGCAUUACUAUGCUUGAAGGCUAGUCAUUUUCCCUUAAAGUGCAAUAUUAAGUUGCAUAGUACUAUGUGGAUCCGCAUUUUUCACAUGCGUUCCCACUCAUUGUCGAGACUCACUUUUUAGAAGUGAAAAAUUAGUUUUAUUAAAGUCGAAGUUGCCACUGGGGAUUUGAACCCUAACAAAAGGUUCAAUUUAAGGAUAAAAAUAUCGAUAAUCACAUAUAUAUAUAUUGGUACUUUGAUUUUAUGAAUAUAUUGAAGAAAUAUGGACAAAUAUUUUGACACAAAAUAUGUACAAAAUAAAAAUUAUAUAAAAAGUAAAAAUAAAUAUUUUAAAAUUAUUUUUUUAAAUAUAUAUAUAUAUAAUUUGACAUAUUUGAUAAUAAUAUAUAAGGGUCUCCAAAAAGCCCGUGGCCCGCUUUAGGCCCGGUCCGACCCGACAGGCUAAAGCCCGGCCCAAGCCCGCCGGGCCCAAGCUCGGCCCGAGCCCGUUUAUGGGUGGGCCGGGCCGCGAGCCCGUAGGCCUGCUCCUUUAAAAAAAAACUACAAAAAUAAAAAGUAUUAAAAAAAAUAUUCAUUUCAAAAUUUUAUUCAUUGAAUGUAUAAUUACAUUUGAAAAUGUGGGAAAAGUUUACAUCACUACAAAAUAAAUACAUCCCAACUAGGUUGGCACCUAUUUAUUUGUCAAUCAUCUGUAUUUUUCAACCACAAAAAAUAAAAAUAAAAAUAUAAUAUACAUUUAGUCAUUAUUUUCUGGCGGUGAUGGCGAACUAUCAUGCAUCCAUGAAGAUCUUGAUAAUUUUAAAGAUUCCAUAUCGGUAAGCAUCUUUGUUUCUCGAAUGGAAUCAUACAUCCUUUUAUCUGCUAUUUCCCAAUCUUUCACACAUAUCCCUGCUUUAAUAACAUCUGACGCUAAGUUGCAUCGUUUUUUACUAACUACUCUUCCACCUGCACUAAAAGCAGCUUCUGAUGCAACUGUACUCACAGGAACUGUUAGUACAUCACGAGCAAUUAUAGAAAGCACAGGAUAUUUGUGUUGAUGUGAUUUCCACCAUAUUAAAAUAUUAAAAUCUUCUUGAUCUUCAAAUGAAAUUAUAUCAGUAUUAAGAUAUUUAUCUAAAUCAGAUGUAUUAUUUGGAGAAUUAUUUGUUGUCUUUUUUCGACUUUUCAACAUUUCUAGAGCUCCUUUAUAAAAAGAUGAGGAGUUUGUAGAUGUAGGUGGUAAUUUAAUAGUAUUAAUAUCAUUACCAUAUUUUUCUUUAUAAUAGUUAUAUAAAUUAUAUAAUAAUGAAUUUAUUUCAUUUUUAAUUUCUUCAAUUUUUAUUUGGUCAUUAAAAUAAAUAAUUGUUAACCAUUCAUCCAAAGCUUCAAAUUUCAAUCUAGGGUCCACAAUUAAAGCAAUAUAAAAAAUUAAAGGUAUUUCUCCCCAAUAUUUUCUAAAUUUUUAUAUCAUUACAAAUAUUGUAUCAUUAAAUAUUUCAAAACUUAAAUAUUUUUGAAGUACAAUAAAAAUAUUAGUUAUUUGCGUAAUAACUCGAUUUGAAGUUGGAUAAUAUACACCACAAAAAAUGUUUGUUGAAGUAUCAAAAAUUUCAAAAAGAUCUCUUAAAACAUCCGCAAUAUGCCAAUCAUAAUCAUUUAAUGCAUAAAUAUCUGCUUCAUAAUCAUUGUUAAUUAAUUGUAUUUCAUAUAAUUCGACUACUUUUCUAUAUUUUGUAAUAUUUUCUAAAAGUUUAUAUGUGGAAUUCCAUCUAAUAGCCAUAUCCAAAUUUAUAUUUUUUCUUUUCAUAUUUAACAUUUUGCAACAAUCAAAAAAUAAUUCAUGUUUUGCUUGAAAACUAUUAAUACUAUAUGCAAUGCCUCUAAUUUUUUUCCAAUGUACUAUCAACAUUUUUUAAUCCAUCCUUUACAAUUAAAUUUAAAAUAUGUGCACAACAACGCACAUGAAAUAUUUUAGCAUGAUCUUCUUUUACUUGCCAAUAUCGUUUUAGUCUAUGUAUUGCUGCAUCAUUAUUAGCAGCAUUAUCUAAUGUUAUUGUCAAUAUUUUAUCACGAAUGCCUAAAUCUAUAAUUUCAUCAUUUAUUAAAGAUGCUAUAUUUUUACCACUAUGUGGAGUAUUUAUUAAUUUAAAUAAAAUUAUUCUUUUAUUUAAUUUCCAUUCAUUAUCAAUGUAGUGAACAAUUAUAUAUAAAAAACCAGUAUGAGUUAAAGAUGUCCAAAUGUCAGAUGUUAAACGAAUAUUUCCUUCAAAAUUUGCAAAAUUUUUUUUUAAAAUUUCUUUUUGUGUAUAAAUUUUUUUCAUAAUAUCUCUUUUAACUGUAUUUCCAGAUCAACCUUUAAAUUGAGGAUUAAUACCUCGUUGAAUUGUUCUUGCAAAAUCAUGAGUUUCCAUCAUGUUGAAAGGUUGUUCUGCUCUUAUUAUAUAAUCAAUCAUUUCUUCACAACAGUUAGAUUCAUCAUAAGAAAAUGUUUUUAAAUUUCCACUUUCAUUUUUACUUAAUUGCAUAUAAUUUCUAAUAUCUACAUUAUUUUUAGUUUUACAAUUUUCAUGAUGUCUUUUUAAAUGACUUGUAUCUGCAUUUGAGCCACCAGUAAGAAAUUUAUUACAAAUUUUACAUUUUGCUUUUAUUUUUUUUUUAUUAUUUUCUAAAAUUAUUUCUAUUCUAUCAAAAAAAUUCCAUAUAUUUAAAGUAAAUUUUUUGUUUGAUGAUAUUUCAUCACAUGGACUAGACGAAGAAGCACUUGUCAUAUUAUAAUUAUUGAUAAAAUAUUAUGCCAAAAAUAAUAAAGUAAUAAAUAUAAAAAAAAAUGUAACAAAAAAAAUAAAGUAGUAGGGGUGAAGUAUGUUACUCAAUUAGAGAACCUAUGCAGAAAUUCCUAGCAAAUUUGAACUCUUGGAGCCACCAAUGCUUGUUUUGCACCAUCAACAAUAUUGUAUAAUUUGAGGGAAAAAUAAAAGAAUUUAAAAUAUUGUAGAAUGUGAGAGAAAUAGAGAGAAUUUGAUGAAAAAAUGAAAAGGAAGAAAAUGUAUUUAUAGGAAGGUUAAAAAUAAUAAUAAUAAUAAUAAUAAUAAUAAUAAUAAUAAUAAUAAUAAUAAUAAUAAUAAUAAUUGGCCAUGUGACCGUUGGAGGCUUAGCUCCAACGGUCACAUGGGCUGGAGCUAGGCUCCAACAGUCACAUGACCGUUGGAGCCUUUAAUUUUUUUUUUUAAAAUAAUAUACUUUAUUUUUAUAUAUAUAUAACUAACUCAAUUAAUAAACAUAAAAAGAAUAUAGUUCAGUUGGUUAGAACCUUGAAGUUUAAACAUGAGGGGAGGGGUUUGAAUCCCUCCCUCUCCCUUAGGGGCUUUUUUAAAAGCCAUUUUGGCUUAUUUCAAAAAGCCUGUCGGCCCGACCCGCCCUGCAGCCCGCGGGCCUAGCAUUUUAGCAUGGCCUGGUCUGUUGACUAGUCAAAUGGCUCAUAGGCUCGGCCCGAACUGGGCCGCGGGCCUCUUAUUUACGGACCGGCCCGACCCGGCCCGCCCGUUGGAGACCCUUGAUAAUAUCUUCUAUAUUAAGUUACAUUAUAGUUUAUUUUACAAUAUUAUUAUGAUAAUAUGUCUAAUUUUAAAAUAUAUUUAAUAUUAAAAUUAUGAUCUAUUUUAAUUUAAAUGUAUUCAAUGAUAUCAAAUAAAUAAUAAUAUAUGUAUAAUUCUUUUAUUAUUUAUAUUUAUUAUUUUUAAUAAAUAUAUAGAUUAUAUAAAAAAGACCGGAUAUAUCUUUUCAAAUUUUGUAUCGCUCUCCAAGGAUAUUAGAUGUAUGGGAAUUUGUAUUGCUAUCUACGGAUACGUUGAUAUAUGGGUGAUUUAUCAGGAUAAUUAGAAAUUCUAAUUAUGUAAGCAGGUACGGAGUUCUGUGUCGGUGCGAUCUUGUCGACAACAGCUCCAAAUUGUGCAUCUUGCUCAUAGAGAGUAGCGGAAUGCACCAAUCGUAGGCUCAGAGUACCACUGAGUCGUCUGGCAGAGACCCAACUGAAGGUGCCUGUGUUGUUCCUGAUCUGAUCAGGCUUCAAACUACAAGGUGGAAUACUGGUUCCCCUAUAUCAGAAGCUGGAGAUACCCACCCCAUAUGCUCGUCUGGAUGUGCUCCUACCCUUUGAAGCCUUCUUCCGAGUCAAGUCCGAAUUGAUAAGGCUAGUGAGUUCCCAACCAACUGUACUCAGCAUGCUGCCAGGUGGAGACCCUCCAUAUUUGAUGGCUUCCUAAUAUUAAAAUGCUGACCACUGGUCUUCAUGUUCCACAGGCUUAAUUGUGUCCUUUGCUGAAAGAAUGGAUAGUGAUCCAUUUUAACACAUGAUUCACGCCGUCUUUGCCAUUCUUCAUGGUCUAGCCCUUUUAUAUAUAUGCUUCCUGAACUGUUGCUAUUAAUAAAAUGUGGUAUCUAUCCCGUACACCUUCCUGAUGGCCAGCGAAUGCAGAAGCUACAGAAACGGUUCCAUCUUUUGCUUCCGCCACUUUGGCAUCCUCCAUGAUGAGAUCGAAGGUGAAUAAUCAUAUUCUGGGGAUUUAUGUCCUGGAUAUUCUCAGUAAUGCCCAAUUUCCUGGUGCCGGCCUCAUUUCCAUGGGAACUGAUGGAUAACUUAAGGCUUCUACCAUCUGCGUGGUUCGCUUCUAACACAGGAAACUUCACGGCUAAAAGCAAGAUACCAAGAACAUCAAGGCUGUGACAAAAAUUAGUAUUUUUAACUUGUAGGAAUUUGAAAGGCAACCAACCAUCUAGCUCUGUUCUUAAAGCUCCCAUAGGAGGAUCAGAGGCUGGAUUGCUCAAGAUGAACUCAUCCAUUGUUGCACUUAAAAAGAAUUGGCAUGAAUUGUGGCCGCUCUAAUAGGUUCCCUAAACCAUCAUCCAAGUGGGCUUGCGGAAGGUAGCGAGUUUAAAACACCUAGGGCGAUGAACAGUGGACUGUGAUGCUCACAAAAGAGAAAAGGAAGAAUUCAAUAAUUCCUAAGAAUCCAUUUGCCUGUCAUCCAAAUUUUUAUAUUCUCUUCAGUCUGACGCGUUAUGCCAUAUAUUAAAAAUAGCGGCUUCUUCCAAGCCGAGACAGACUGUGCAAAGUUCGCAAGGCCAAUCAUCACCAUAAUCUGAAGUUGGCCUCCUCAAUCGCAGCUUGUAUCCGAAUGCUCACUUCACGGGAUGGAUUGUAAUGAAAACUAAUCUCAGUCCCAGCUAUGGCAGCAUCCUCACUUGACAGCAUUUUCUGCAUAUUCUAGAACAAAGCAAUAAACCCUCAAAGGCUCCUUCGGAUCAGAGUUAGAAGACUGUCCCUCAGGAACGUGAACACUAUGGUGGUUCUGAUAAGCAGUGAUAUUGCAUUAGAGCCUUUUGGAACAAGAGGAUCUUUUCAGGUGGAAACUGUAAACUGCUUCAUGUUGGGCUGCAACCUUUUCUUCAAGCAAUACUUUCUUUCUGUAUCACGACUUAUGUUGCUUCCGGAGCCAUCCCGUGUGGACUGCCCUUCAGUGAAAGAAUAUGUGUGUUGACAUGUUGGAUUGUAAUCUUUGUUCCACUCUAAUGGCUUUUGGUCCUCCUCUUUCUCUUUAUGACAGAGAACCAUUUAGUGAUCCAUCUCUAUAUUGUAGCAUUGCUGGUGCUUUGCAAUACUACACUCUCACCAAGCAUAACAUCUAUUUUUCCGUGACCAAAGUAUGUCGGUUUAUGCAUGCGCAAACUCUUAUUCAUUGGCAAGUUGUCAAGCGUAUCUCAUGAUUUCCCAAAGCCACAAGUUCUUAUGGUCUUUCUGUUCAAGCUUACAAUGAUCUAUCUUUUCUUGGUUAUACUGAUGUCGAUUGGGCUAGUUGCCCUGAUAACAAGCACAAUACUAGUGGGUACAACACUUUUCCUGGUCCUAAUCUCAUUUCAUGGGCAUUUUCAAAGCAGAAGGUUGUGUCUCACUCCAAUAACGAAUCUGAAUAUAGGGGACUCACUAAUUAAUGUUGUUGCCAAGGUCACUUGGAUUGAAUCUGUCUUACGUGAGUUGCGUGUUUCUCUACCCCAACCACCAAUUUUGUUGUGUGACAACAUUAGUGCUACACACUUGGACAAACCAUGUUGAAAUACACUAUCAUUUUAUCCAUGAAAGGCUUAUGCAUCACACACUCAAAAUUCAAUACACCUCUUCUAUAGACCAACUAGUCAAUGCUAUGACCAAAGCUCUUCCUUCAUCUCACUUGUACAAUCUUCAGUGCAAGCUGAUUGUUCUUCCCAAACCACUCAACUUGAGGGGAGAUGUUAAGCCAAUUUAAUAAAUUGAUUUCUUUUGGUUAAUUUGUUAGAAUCAUUUUUAUUAGAGGUUUGUUUGUACAAUUACAUCCAUUUAUCAGGAGAGUACACGUGUACAACUCCUCUUUUAAUCUCACCAUUGUAUAUAUAUGAUACACGACCUUACUCAGAAUUGCAUAACAUUUCCUCUGCUCAUUCCUUUUCUUCUUUGAAUUUUCCCUUACCUCACUGAUUUUGAUUUAUACCUGGUGUUUUCACCUUUGGUCUCUACCUUUCUAGCCAGUUUUCUAAUUAAUCCGUAUAUGGUAUACCUGUCAACUAAUGAGGAGAAAGAGAAAAGGGGAUUGCUGUUCCACCAGCUACAUAUAAUAAUUAAUUACAAUCAUGGUAAUGGAUCCUGAAAUCCAUCCUUUGUGGAUUUUGUACGGAAUAUUGUUGUUAUGUAUGUGGGCUCACUUAGAUGUAUAUUGCUAGCCUGUCUGGGAAAUGUGAUUGCAGGUCCAGAUUAUGAUGUUGAUAUUAGUGGGAUAAGCAAGAGAUGCAGUUAACACGUAUGUGAUGGACUUGAGUAACUUUUCCAUUUCAGUCCAUUUUUUAAGAUUAUGCUUAGUCUUAUUACAAGGAAAGACCAUAAGAAUCAUGAGUCAUUGGCAAGGUAAUAUCAUUCCCUCUUUACAGGCUUCUUCACCUUUUGGUUUUUUUAAUAUCCAUCAAGAUCUUUUAAUUGGAGGACAAUUACAAGUAUAUAUAUAUGUAUUAAAAGGGGAAAAUAUUAAAACAGGAAAUUUUAGGGAAAAUAUAAUAAUUAUUUCUUCCUUCUUUCCCAUAUAGAACUACACAAAAUAAAACUUUAAUAAUUUUUUCUUAUCUUUUUUAUUAUUAUUUUUUCUUAGAAACAUCCGUGGUCUCACAAGCUUGUAAUCCUAGAUUGUUAGGCUCCUUUAACAGUGCCCCAACAUCGUGGUCCAAUGACAAGCUUCCACGCCUUAAAAUCAGAAAAUGCCAUUAAACUUUAUCAGACAUUACAGUUCAAGACAAAGCUUUCAUUUGCUUAAUGUGAUAAUGAAAUUGUUAAUUUCAUUUCGUGGGCAUCUAAAUUUGGACGAGCAAGACCUCUGAAUUCCCUGUUUUUAUCACCAGCAGAGGAGAUAAAAUCUUAAUGGUGAGAAUCUCCACGUGAAAUUUAUGUGUACUGUCAACAUAUUUUUGUUUAUAUAGUCCAGUAGCUGCAGGAAGUCUAGAUUAUAUAGGUAGCAGUAGCACUAUUUAUAGCACUCGAUAUUCGCUGUAUGAAUACAUUAAACCUUGUUUUCAAUACGCAUCACAAGCAAGUACUAGAUACUACAAGGAGUGACAGUCGCAUCAACAUUUCUUGAUAAUAGCAGUGACUGAUUUAUACACAGAACAGUACUGUACACGUACCAGUCACCAGAGAUAGGAUCUUAUUCCUACAUACGACUCUUAUUGAUCGAAGUCACUCAGUUGGGGUAGCCUGGAGUUGGAGGUUUGUGUGGUGGCUUCUUCUUUGGAGGAGGCUUUAUCUUUGGAGGCAUCAUCUUUGGAGGCAUCUUGUGUGAGUCUUCUUCAGCAUUCUCUACAGGAGGAUGGCCAGGCUUAUGACCCUUAGGUGGUUUGCCAACUGGGAUUGGUGGCUUGUGUCCUGAGAGUGGCUCCUCUUCUUCGGGAGGUUUGCCAACUGACGUUGGUGGCCCGUGUCCUGGGGGUGGCUUGUGUUUUGGGGGUGGUUUCACUCCACCGGGAGGUUUACCAAUUGGUGUUGGUGGUUUGUGCUCAAUCGGUGGCCUCUCAACUGGGGGGCGCUUGGGGUAAUCAGCGAGUGAAGAAGUGGUGAGAACCACCACUCCAAGCAACAACACUAGCAAGUAUGUGGAAGACAUCUUUGAGUUUGGCUCAGAUGGUGUAGAACUAGAAUCCUGGGUGGCCUUUUAUAUUAGUUGGGCCCUAUGCCCGAACGACAAGUGUCAUGGUGACACAUAAAGUGAUGGGGUCGAUUUGGGCCUACCGGAUUUGAAAACUUGGACAAUUCGAGAAGCGUCUCCUGACUCCGGGUUGUAAAGUGAAAGAUUAGGUAUCGACCAUUGAAGUAUGAUCACAACUUUUGGCCUUUGGCUCUCUCUACUGCCGUAUAGCUUUUUUCCUUUGGAUAUUUUUCUUAGCUAGACACAAUUAUUGAGCAGUCUAAUCUCGAAAUGGGAUUAGUAUAGCUUUAAGCAAAUUUAUUAUAGUUAGUGGAGGACUUUUAAGAGUGCAGACGACAUUUAACACAUGCAUGCAGUAGUAUAGGGGACAUAACACUAUUCUUUUUCCAAAGAUUCACAUGAUUUUUAUAUUAUAGUAUUGGCACAUUGUAUGUAGCUGGUUUUGUGGUUAAAAUUCCAUAUGUAGACACUGGCGUUUCUCCAUUUCUCACAAUUGAUGUUUACCUCCACGAUUACUAGAUUAGAUAUACCAAACAAUAACACAUUGUAUAAUCUAUCCGCCCUUCAAAAUCUACUGUAUGAUGAAAUGUUUCAUGUGUGUGUGAAGUGUUAGAAAUGCACUAUAGGCAACAUCAUCUUCUUUUGUCUAGGCUUGGGCCUCAAAUUAUACUCCCAUGCCAUGAUAAAUUUUCAUGUGCAUUCUCUAAAGAAGAGUGUCUUGAAUGUGCCAAAUCAUUUUGAUUGAUUUUAUGAUGUUAAUUGCUCCGCAUAUGGAUGGGUAUGUGCUUUAUUUGCUUAUUCAAUCCACAAUUACCUUGAACUGAAGUCCUAUUGGAGCUCUAUUAUUUUAGCAACGUCCUGUCAAAUAGGCUGCUAACUUGGGGUGGUAUGGACCCAAUGAUCCAUCUUAAUCUUGGGUUGAUUUUGUCUGACUCUAUCUAUCUCAGAGAGAACCAGGAUCACCAGUGCUGGUCUGCUUAAAGAAGACUCAGUACUGGAUUAAUAUUGGUUUGGGUCAAUAGCUUAUAAUGCAUUGAAUGCAGAAUAAACAAGAUCAAUGAAACCCAAAACACACUGCCCACACAACUUCACUCUGGUGUCUGUUAUUCAUCAAUUCUAUUCCCACAUGAACUGGUUCAAGUUUAAGAAAAUGACAACGGAUCCACUGUAUUAACUUGGUUUUGCUUGGUUUUGAGCUAGUUGCCAAACCAGCCAUGAGUUUUACCUCUAAUGUCAAUGAACAAACCCCAAAUGAACAACUGCAACAGCUUAAAGAGAAGGAAUGGAGAUGAAAAUCCCUGUUUCUUCUCAUUCUGGGGACAAAUUAGAACAUAACUACAAAGGUUCUAUUAAUUGACUUACUCUACCAUGAAUUAUGGUUCUUUGGUUUUCCAAAUUUAAAUUGUACAUGAGAUUAUUUUUUUCCUUUAUAUAUAAACAUAUUAAGGUUUUCUUAUUUCGUGGGCAAAUGCGCUAAGGAUGAAAGUCAUUUCAUUUGGCUGCAACAGCAUCUUAUAAUCAACAUGCAUAAGCAGCAGUUUUAAUUGAUCGAUUGAACACCGACUCACAAGAAUAGAUAGAAUGGUACAAGACAGCUCUUAUUAAUUUAUACUCGUUACUCAUUUUAUGUAGCCCCAUUAAGAUGGCUGGCUGGACCACCGAGGUCUGGGGGUGGUGUUGCUUGUGUGAUGCAGCGGGCCGGGCAGACACUUCUCUAGUUGCUUCUAUUUGGAGUUAGAGGAUCAGUCUCUGCCAACCUUGAGGACUCUCUACCUCAGAGGGUCCAGGUGGUGGACUCUGGUGUCGGUAGCUUUGAACUCUCAGUAGACUAGUGUGUCUUAAUCAGUCACUGCCAGAGGCUGGCGUAGGCAGUGACGAUAAGGUGAGACAAAUUACCGAAUAGUCAAUAUCGACUGCACUUGACCAUUAUAGAUUUGUUCUGACAAAAGUGAGAAAAGGGAGAAAAUCGGAUGUUGACCUUUAUAGAAAAAGAUAAGAUUUACUGCAACACAGAGCACUGAUUUGUUACUUGGAAACCAAGUUAUGCUAUUAGCUAGCCUCCAUUAGCAGCAGGGUACCUUGCUGCCUGAUCCUAAUCUGAGUUCCCAAGGUUUCAAUCUUCGUUUGUUAACGCUUCAGGAUUUGGAUAUUUCAGCUUCGUUUCUCCAUUUAGCCAACGCUGCCUGGUUUGGAUUUCAAUCCUCAUCUGGAACAUUCUUUUUUCGGUCUGAUUCAGGAAGUGUUUGGUGAUAGUUGAUUAAAAUUAAACAGUACUAUCAUACAAAUAAAGCUGAUCUAAUUUUGGUGGGCAAUAUACCAACUCAUUUAUUCUUGAAAACACCAUGGGGAAUUGGAGGUCCAUCCGAAGUACUAUUUGAUGGGACUCACAAAAAGAACAGGUGCACAUUUAUGAGAUCCGUGGAAGAGAUAACUAUGACAGCUAUGCAUGUACAACAGAUUUAUGUCGAGUUCACCUCGUAGAUAUUUUGUUUUCAGUGUCGGUGGACCCCAAAAUGGAAAUCGGAAAUUAAGGUUAUAUUUAUUUUUUUAUUUAAUUUUAAAUAGAAUUUUAAUUUUUAAUAAUAUUAAGUAUUAAAUUAUUUUUUUAAGGGUAUUUUAUUUUUAUUAAGUAUUAAAAAGUAAAAAAAAUUAAUAUGUUGCUUUUUUAUUUUAAAAAAAUUAUAUAUUUUAAUUUUUUCUAUUUACUAAAAAGUUUAUAAUAAAUUAUAAAAAAAUAAAAAAAUAAAAAACUUAAAUUCUGAAAAUAAAUUAUUUUUAAUAAAAAAAUCCAAAAAAGCAAACACCACCUAAAUUUGAGAUGACUCAAAAUUUUAUAUUUUUUUUCACCUAAAUUAUAUUCAUAAAUUUAAAAUUAAAAAAUUAGGAAGUUGAAUUUUAUUUUGGAUAAUUGGAAACUACAAGAAAUCAAUAAAAAUAUUUGGAAAAAAAAGAAAAAGAAAAACUAUCUAUAUAUUCACCCCCUUCUAAGAAACAUAACUUUAGUUUUUAACUAUUUUUUAAAAUAAUUUUUGAAAAAUGUUAUAUAAUAUUUUAUAAAACAAAAAAUCUGUUUGACAAUUUGAUAUGUCUUUAACUUAUUUUUAAUAUUUAUAUAUAUAUAUUUUAAAAAUAAUUUUAUAUUUAGAACUUUAUCUUUAAUUAUUAUAUAUAUUUAUAUAAUUAUUUUUUUUAAAACAACUCUUAAAAAAUAAGUGAAAGUAAUUGAAAACAACUCAAAGAUAUUUGAUGAAAACACUCUAAUUUGUAUUUUUGAGAAUAAAAAAAUAAAUAAAUAAAUUUCUAGUUAUCAAAUGUAUUUUUUAAUUCUUUUAUUCUAAAAAAUAGAAAAUCGUUUUUGAAAAUAAUUAUUAAACAACAUUCUUAAAAAUUCACUCGUUACAAUCUAGAUUUAAUGCAAGAAUGAUUGAAGGAGUCCUCCAAUAGAACCCAAAGUUAUAAACAUGAACAAGAAGCCCUAGAAACACCAAAGAUCUCAUAUGGUAUAUAUAUGAGCUUGAUUGAGAACUGUUUUAAAUUCAGUUUUUUUUUUUUUUUUUUUUUUUUGUUUUCAAAGUCAAAACAAGUUUACUUUUAAUUUUUACUUCUUUUUUUUAAUUUUAUAAAUAACAGUUUUUUAAUAAUUUAUUUUGAAAACAUGAUUAUUUUUAAAACUUAUAAUGAAAAUAGGAAUUUUUUUUUUAAUAUCAUGGUUAUUUUCCCUUCUUUUAAGGAGGGCUAUUUUAAAAAUAAAUUUACAAAUAUGAAAAAUGAUUCAAACUAAAGCAGUACAAAUAAAAAACAUUUUUAAGAAAUAUUUAAAAAUAGAGAAAAUUAUUUGAGAACAUUUGAAGUCCUUAAAUAGACUUUUGUUUUAGAAAAGGCAAGAUAAUUAUUUUUGAAAAUUGUUUUCAUAAUGAUAUGCAAAAACCUACGUAAAAACCAUAAUUAUAAUCGGCCACAUAUCAAAUCUACUAAAUAUGAAAAGUAAGUACAUAAUUAUAUUUGACUUAGAUGCAAGGAGGAAAAUGUCGCGAUAUUAUCGCCGAAAUAUCGUGUGUCGAAGGGUAUCGACACGAUUUUUCUUGCAGAAAUAUCGGCCAGUCGAUUUUUCGGGAUAAAUCUCGAGAAAUCGGCAAUUUAUCGCGAUAUAUCGGCGAUUUUUCCUCGAUAUAUCUUCUGGUCAACGCGGGUCAACGGAGUCAACACGCUACAGUGAAAGUCAAAUGUGCUACAAUGUCCCCGCUACAAUCACCUCCCCAAACAAAUUGCCAAAUUGCUUCCGAGGGGAUUUGAACCAGCCUUCUUGCCAUUUGGGCUAACUCGCCCUUAUGAUAUAUAUUGCAUUAAACAUAUAUAUACUUAAAGUCCUUAUAUAAAGAAAAUGUUAAAAAAAUAUUUUAAAGAGCAAAUUAAUUAUAAUUAUUUUAUAAUUAAAAGCAAAAUUUUCUUUUAAUUAAUUACCAAAAAUAUAAAAAUUAUAUAAUUUUCUUCAUAAUGUUUUUAAUAUCAUUAAUAAUUAAUUAAAUAUUAAAAAAUUAUAUAUAUAUAUAUAUAUAUAUAUAUAUAUAUUAUAAUUUAUUUUAUAUUGUUUAAUACAAUUGAAUUAAAUGGAUCAUAUUUUAAUAUUAAUAUAUAUUUUAAAAUUAGACAUAUUGUAAUCAAAUAUCAUAAUAUUAUAUGUAAUUUAAUAAUAAAUGUACACUUAUAAAAUUCAUAUUUUUAUCGAUGCAUACAAUAUUAUUAUCAAAUAUGAUAAAUCAUGUUAUACAUAUAUCAAAAUUUUCAAUAAAAUAACUUUAAAAUGUCUAUUAUACUUCUAAUUAUAUUAUUAUGAGGUUUUCUUUACAUUUUCAUGAGUUUUAAACAAUUUUAAGCACCAAUAUUUUUUUCCAAAAUAUCCACCGAUAUAUCUCCGAUAUAUCCAAUAUAUCUCCGAUAUCUCCGAUAUAUCCGUAAAAUCGAAGUACCGAUAUAUCCGUGAUUACCGAUAUUUUCAUCAUUGCUUAGAUGCAACCUUCUUCCAAAUGACAUACUUUAGUCAAUACUUAUAUUUUUUCGUUUCACUUCUUUGAUACAACACCUCAUGGAUUUAUUGUUUAAUUUAUUUGUAAUUAUAAAACUAUUUUUCAUUUUUAAUAAGACUUGAAUUAAUUUAAUAAAUAUUAUAUAAUUUGAAUUUAUAAUUCUUUUUAUAAAAUCAAAGUAUAUUAAAAAAAAAACAAUUUAUCCGAAGAAAGUUUUUUAUUUUUUAUUUUUUAAAACCGAUUUUAAAAAUAACUAGCUAGACACCCUUAUUUUGAUAAAAUACGAAAUAAAAGUGUAAAAACAACAUGGCCAAAUAGGGGCUUAAAUUUUAUUUUUAAAACAUUUUUUUACACUAAAGUGCAUUUUAAAAACACCAUCAAAACCAACUACAAGUUAUGCUUCUUCCCGUAAUAGAAAUAUUUUAGGCCAAAAUAGAACCUCCCCAAAUAAAGACCCUAUACUAAACUCCUUUUCAUUUUAUUAAUACAAAAGUGGGGAAAAAAGGUCUAUGCUCACCUAAAAAACAUGAAUAUUGUGAAUUCACCAUUUCUAUAAGGAAGUUGAAAACUUCAAAAUUUUAUCAACAAAUUCUCUAAAAUCCUCAAAAUAUAUAGGGCCUGUUUCACAAAGUUUUUUAAAAUUUGUUUUUAUAAAUUGCUUUUAAAAUAUAGAAUAAAUAACAGUUUUUUAGAUUUUUUGAAAAAUAAGAGUGUUUGGUAAGAUGUUUUUUUUUUUUUUUUUUUUUUUAAGAAUUAAAUAAAAAAUAAAAAAAUUGUUUAGAUAAAAGAAUUUGUAUUGUUUUUAAAAACAAUGUCUUACUUUUAUGUUAUAAAAAUUUUAUUAAUUUAAUUUAUAAUAAUAUGAAAUGAAAUUCAAGUUAAGUCUUAUUAAAAAAUACAAAUUAAAUCUAUAAUUAUGCAUGAGUUAAAGAUAAAUAUAUAUUUUUUAAAACUAUAAAAUAAAUUUUCUAUUAUAGUGAAACAAAAAUUACUAUAAAAUAAAAAUAAUUUUAAUAUUCAUUUUUAAUACAAGUCAAAUAAGUACUUUAAUUAAUUUUUUUUAUCAUGAUUUCUUAUGUUUUUUUUUUUUUCUAGAAAUUAUUUUAAGUAAUAUAACUAAUUUUUUUUUUAAUGUUUUAUAAAAAUAAGGAUAUUUGGCAAGUUGUUUUUAUAAAAGGAUUUUAAAAAUAAAUGGAUUUUUUUUUUUUUUAAAAAAAGAACAAAAUGAUUUGUUUGAAUAAAUUGUUUUGAUUUUGUAAAAACAUUUUAAAUUCAAUUUAUAUAAUAUUAAUUAAUUAAAUUAAAUUGAAGUUUUAUUGAAAAUAAAAAUAAUUUUGUAAUUAAAAUUAGAUUAAAAAAUAUAUAGGUUUUAAUAAAUCGUAAAUAGUAAUAUUAUAAUAAAAUUAUAAAUUAUAUUUUUAACAUAAAAUAUACUAUUUAUUACAUAUUAAAAAAAAUAUUUUAUUAUAUUAAUAAUUUUAUGGUAUUAAUGAGUUUAUUAUUUAAGUUUUAAAUUAUUUUUAAAAAUUAAUAAAUUUGUUAACAAAUGCAAUGUACUAAAUGUGGUUUAAUUUGGAGUUAAUUUGUUUAGGGAAAAAAAUAAAAAAUAAAAAUCUUAUGUAAAAGAGAAAUAAUAGAGUGUGUGUGUUUUUUUUUAUUAUUUUUAAAAAUCAGUAAAAAGAACUUUUACUUAUUGCCUAAAAAUUAUUCUCUAUUUUAUUUUAUUUUUUAAAUCUAGAAAUAGAUAACAAUAAUAAAAAAAAUUAAAAAAGAAAAAUGUUUUUUAAAACUCAGACUUAUAAUUGCUUUUGUUUCUCAUUCGCACCCCUGGAUUCCUGGAUUCUAAACACAAAAUUAAGUUGAAUCGUCCAUCUAUCUUGUAAGCCAAGAAUUCACAUAGAAGAAAUAAUCGGAAUUUGAUUUGAUAUCAGAUUUAGAGUGGCUCACUACUCAUGCAUUGUCCCACAAUAGUAAUGCUUUGGGCCGAGAUAAACCCAUUUGUGGGCCCAAAUAAAACCCCUGGUUUGAAAACAUCGAUUUUACAGUGGCCCAAAAGAUUAUCUAUGAGGGGAAGAUAACUUGGAAGUCAAGCAAACACAUUUAUCGCUAACUUUUCUCUAAUUAUAAAAUUAUAACUUGGUCUUCUACACGUCUCACUUAAGAGGCGGAGCCACUUGGCACUACCUUUCCAUAUUGUAAAAGGAGAAGAAGCAGAAGGAGAAGAUUCUUAUGCCAUUCCACACACCAUGGCUAGUACUGCUAUGCUGCUUGGCCCGCCGGCUCUCCGCCAUCCUAAUUCUCCCGCCGGCACUGUCUUUGAAGAUGGGGUCAUUCUAACGGAUUCCCUGAUCGUCCGCACCAGUAAUCUGGAGCUUUCUGAAAAACCGCCACUGGAAUCCCUGGCGUAGUGCUCUGUCAGUGGGGAUAUUGCUAUGGAUUGUUUGGAUUCCCAAGCCCACAAUCUUCAUCUUCCCGGGAAACCGCCGAUGGGCUUAACGGAAAACAAGUCUCCGACCUUUUUGUCUUCCGGGAACCCGUGCUUGGACUUCUUCUUCCAUGUGGUUCCCGAUACGUCGUCUGAUGAUCUGAUCCGACGGUUUGAGUUGGCUUGGGAAUUCAAUCCGCUGACGACGUUAAAACUGAUAUGCAACUUGAGAGAGGUGAGAGGCACCGGAAAAUCUGACAAAGAGGGUUUCUACACGGCGGUUCUCUGGCUCCACGACCACCAUCCCAAAACCCUAGCCUGCAAUGCUAGGGUGUUGGCCAGCUUCGGUUAUUUCAAGGAUUUUCUCGAGAUUCUCUACCGGCUUCUGGAGGGCCCUAAAAUUCGAAGAAUCGAAAAGAAAGACUGGCUGGAUCGAAAAGGAAGGAAGAAAAAUUCCCGGAAAAGGAACUCAAUAUUCAAGCGAGAAAAUAGGCCUGGAGUUGAAUUUCCUGUAGAAGAGAAGGAUGUGGAGUAUAUGGUGGAAGAAUUUGUGGAUAAAGAAAAGGCUAGGGUACUGAGAAAGGAGAGAGAACUUGCUCUUGCCAAAAGAGCCCUGCACAAGUAUUCUACUGAUUCUAAUUAUCAGUUCUUACAUGAUCAGAUUUCAGAUUUAUUUGCUGAACUUCUGAAAUCUGAUAUUCAGUAUUUAAACUCCGGUGAGCUUUACAAGAUUAGUCUCGCAUCCAAAUGGUGUCCCACAAUUGAUUCUUCUUAUGAUAAAUCCACCUUGAUAUGUGAAAAUAUUGCUCGAAAGGUUUAUUCUCGCGAGGAAUAUAUAUCCAGAAUACCAAGGAAUUGAGGAGGCUCACUAUGUUAAUAGAGUCAGGGAUAGGUUGAGAAAACAAGUACUUGUUCCAUUACGUAAGGCCCUGGAGUUGCCAGAGGUUUUCAUGUGUUCGAACCAGUGGGGAUCACUUCCCUACAACCGUGUGGCUUCAGUGGCCAUGAAAUCAUACAAGAGCCUCUUCUCAAAACAUGAUACAGAGCGGUUUGGUGUGUAUCUUGAGAAAGUGCAAACUGGGAAGGCUAAGAUUGCAGCUGGUGCAUUACUUCCCCAUGAGAUUAUAGCUUCAUUGAAUGAGGAGGAUGGCGAGAAAGUUGCAGAGCUUCAGUGGGCGAGAAUGGUGGAAGAUUUAUCAAAGAAUGGGAGGCUCACAAAUUGCAGUGCGGUAUGUGACGUAUCAGGAAGUAUGAGUGGAACUCCAAUGAAGGUGUGUGUGGCUCUGGGGCUGUUAGUUUCAGAGCUCAGUGAAGAUCCAUGGAAAGGUAAUGUAAUUACUUUCAGUGCAAGUCCUGAGCUUCACAAGAUCCAAGGAGACAGCCUUGUAUCCAAGACUGAAUUUGUGAGGAUGAUGGAAUGGGGUGCGAACACUGAUUUUCAGAAAGUUUUUGACAGAAUCUUACAAGUAGCAGUGGAGGGAAAUCUGAGUGAAGAUCAAAUGAUAAAGAGGGUUUUCGUUUUCACUGAUAUGGAGUUUGAUGAAGCUUGUGGGAGGUAUAACUAUUGUGAAUAUGACUAUGAUAUGGAGGAAAUUGAUGAGAGUCAGAAGGCAUCUCAGAAGUGGGAGACAGAUUAUGAAGUGAUACAGCGGAAAUUCCAGGACAAAGGAUAUGGAAAAGUUCCGGAGAUAGUGUUUUGGAACCUUAGAAACUCAUCAGAGACUCCAGUGAUGGCCACAGAGAACGGGGUGGCCUUAGUAAGCGGGUUUUCGAAGAAUCUGUUAGACCUUGUUUUUGGAAGGAGGUGGAAUUCUGACCCCUCAGGAUGUGAUGGAAUUAGCCAUCUCUGGUGAAGAUUACAAGAAACUUGUUCUAUUUGAUUAAGAUAUCAAGAGAUUUAUCAAUAAUAAUAUGUUUUUUUUUUUCUAUGUGAAAUACAUGUAAUAUUAACUAUGGAGUUAUCAAAGUUCUGGAAAUUUAAUUAUUUCUUCUUUUCAAGUUUUGUUUGUCUUUGUUAGGAAUUCCCCUUGGGCGGACCCAGCUGGGGACUUGGAUUGAGGAAGUAAGGAGGCGAAAUUGUGUUCUUCUAUGGACAGAGAAAAAAGAUAAAAAUAAAAAAUAAAAAAGGAGGUUAUUUGCAUUUGGAUGUCAUGUGGUUUCAGGGUACAACUACAAGUUCGAAAUUGUACAUAAUGUGAAAAUUCCUGUGUGGAGAACAGCAUAAAUAUGUAUCUCAGUGUGUUUUGUUUGAGCUAAUUGGCAAAUUCGCUUUAAACAUGGUCACAUGGAUGCAUAUUUAUUUGUGAAAUGAUAGUAGUCGAUUACUUGGUCAGUAAGGUUUGUAUCUCUAACUCCAACAUCUUAUUGUAGUCUUUUAAAAUGUCAAAAGUUUAAUGCUAGCUUGAGAAAUUUUGGAAUGGAGACAUUCUAAACAAAGUUAAUAAUCCAUGAGACUUGGUAAAACCGAUCAGAUGAUGCUUACGUACAUGAAUGCCUUCUUUAAGCCGUAUCCUAUUUUCAUUGAAUGAGACGUGCCAUCUAGUUUUGUUCUUGUCUUGAUUGGAUCAUGAUCCCGGGAAUUGAUUACUGUUCUGAAUUUGCGAAUGUUCAAGGUAUUAGAGAAAGUUAAUAUUAUCGUUAAUUUACAUAUUAGUAUUUAUCUAGUUAUUAUAUAUUAGUUUGAAUUAUAAUAUAAUAUAGAAUUUGAAUCAAGUUUACUAUUAGUUUGAAUUACAAUAGGAAAUAAAGUUUGAAUUAUAGUAUAACUCAAAUAUAUUUGUAUAUAAAUAUCCAUCUUUAUCAAUGAGAAUAGUAAACCAUAUUUUUCUCUAUCUUCUUCUUUCUCUAUAUAUAUGGUAUCAAAGCCUCCAAAUCCUAAACCUAGUCUCAACUUAGAGCAAAUUUAGGGUGCAGGGUUUAGGCCCCGCCUCCCCCAACCCUUACCACAAAUGGUAGUGACCUUGUUAUGCCUAUGUAUUGUCAAUGCCUCAUUUUCUAUGGUCUUCAAUACAAUAUCUAGUUUCAAUGUCUCUUUCCUUACUAUCUCCAAUGCAAUAUAUUGAUUUCAAUAUCUCUUUACAACCAAGAGCUCCAAAUUUUCCUGGUUCAAAUCUACCAUAAUUUUUAUUCUCCUUUGCUUUUUACCAAUAUUAGUUCCCCUAAUUUAAUAUAUAUCUCUUUAUUACCUUCAACUCUACCUCUCUCUUUCUUUAAAAGCUUCCUCAAAGAUUUGAUUGCUUUCUUGCAUGUUUUGGGAAAACAAACAUGCUCAUAUUCUAUUACCUCUACUUGAGAUCUGCCUUAUACUCUACCUUCUUCUUUACCUCCUAUAUCAUCUACUACAUUAGCUUCAAAAACAUUAUUUAGUUUGAUGCUAAAUAAGGCUCCUAAUCCUACCCUUCCUUCAACUAACUUUCUUUUACAAGUCCCUCAAAGUUUUUUUUUUUUUUUUUUUGGAAAUUUGGCUUAGAAAGAUUUCAUUACUCUUACCUAAUCUUUCAACCAUCAAGUCGAAUCCACUUAUCUCUUGAAUCCAAGGAGACUACCCUCCACAAAAACAAGGAGAUUGACCCCCACAAUAACAAAGAGAUUGUCCUCCAUAGAAACAAAGAGAGCUUCCUUCAUGGAAGCCGAAUACAUCGCAAUCUAUUUUCUUUCUCUCAAGAUCAAAUCUCCAAUCGGAGCUCCAUCUUGUGGGGAUAUAUUAGAAAAAGUUAAUAUUAUCCUUAAUUUACAUAUUAGUAUUUAUCUAUAUUAUAUAUUGAAUUAGAAUAGAAUAUAGAAUUUGAAUUAAGUUUACUAUUAGUUUAAAUUACAAUAGGAAAUAGAGUUUGAAUUAUAGUAGAACUCAAAUAUAUUUAUAUAUAAAUAUCCAUCAUUAUCAAUGAGAAUAGUAUUCCAUAUUUUUCUCUUUCCCUGAGGCUUCAGAAUGUGAUCUUGAACAUUUGAUCUUUUGGAUUCUUCUUGUUUCGGUGGUUUAAUAUAAUGGAAUGUUUAAUUAUAGCCUACUUUAUCACCAUGGAUGUGCUCCUGCAGAUUUCUUGAGGGUGAUGGUUAUUUUGUCAUGUUUCUUGAAUGGUUUGCAUCAGCUGCCUGAGCUGUUGUUGCUGGUCACUUUUGCAACCAGGGAAAGAAUCAUGGCUUUGGAGAAGCCAGCUUCUGUUUUUGUUGCCCAGCUGUUAGUUCACUAAGAUUGGGGGUCCUAACAUGUAUGUAUAAUCAUAAGCAAGGAAAUUUUAUGUCUUACGCUAGAUAGGUACCAUGAUAUGAUGUUUGAUUGAUUUAUUAACUCUACCUGUUUCAAAAGGCAUCAACAUUAAUUUUACCCUUUUAACACAUUGGAUUGUUUGACCUUACGAGAUUUUCUAUUUCUGUACUAUUUGAACUGCAAUCGUUAUGGUCCUUAGGUCUCUAAACCUUCGUUUAAAAUAAAAGUAAGGAGCACACAUAGUAAAAGUUAAUUUUGGGUAACUUUUAAAACAAAGAGAAAAGUAAAAGUUGUUUUUGAGAAAAACAUAUAGAAAUUGAAAGAUUUUUUAUUUUGAGAAAAAAAAGUCAUAGAAAAGAAAUAAUAUCCCCAUAUAAGUAGAUAUGAUCUAUCCGAAGUGUAGCUACUCUCCUGGAUUUAUUCUAACAUUUUAAAAUUUUUCUCAAUGGGCAAAGGAAUAUCAAAUCAAGCUUGAGUAGGAUUAAUUUCUUAAUUUUUAAAAUAACUUAUAAUUAAAAUUUUUUGGUGUUUUCUUUUUUGGACAAUUUUUUAUGAAGACUCUGAAUCAUGCAAGAGAUAUGGUUAUUUUAAAAAAAAAAAUAAUUUAAAACUCAAAUACAUAAUCAAUGUCACAAAUUUAUAAACAAAAGGUUUUUAAAAAAUACUAUUAUUUCCCCUCUACACAUAAUUUUACUUUUCCGAUUUAUUUAUUUUUGUUGGAAAACAGUCUUCAAAUCAAGUAAAAUUAAUAUGUUAAAUUUGUUAAACAAAUAAAUUUUAAAAUACAAUUUGGAACUCAAAAAUCAAUUCAAGUAAUGCUAAAAUUCAAAAAAUCAAAUUUGGAAUAAAAUGACUUUGUAAAUUUUUUUACUAAACAAAUGAAUUUUAAAUCAAGUGAGAUUUAAUACAUUGGAUUUUUAUGAGAAUAGUAAUUUUAAAAAUUAAUUUGGAACUCAAAAAUAGACACAAUAAAUACCAAAAAUCAAUGAACCAAAAUUGGUUUGGAAUAACUCCAUAAUUUUUUAUUUAUUUAUAUAUUUAUUUUUUUGUGCACACGAAUUUCUUACUAAGCAUAUUGCUUCCAAAUUGAGAAAAAUUUACUAUUUAGAUUUUUUUAAUGAGUUUAAUGGUAUUUAAAAAUAAUUCAAAAAUUCGAAAAUUGACUAAUUUAAUAUUAUAAAUUCAUAAACCAAGACUAAUUCAAAAUGCAUUGGGGGCUAAGGGGGUUGAAAUUAAUGCUCCAUUUGGUUGUGGCCACCAAUUGGCAAUGGCCACCAAUCAACCAAUCAAGGUGGCUAAGGGGGUUGAAAAUAGGGACAAUGGGGUGGGUUUGGGACAGGACACUCAUAUCCCAUUCCCAUCCCAAUUACACAGUUAUUUCCCAUCCUUAUUCCAAACUUGUGUUGGGGCAAGUUGAUUUGUUCCCAUCUUUGUUAACGAAAUGACUAAUAACCUCAUCCUCUCCUUGUCUUAGAUGUACAUUUUCUCAAAUUUGGUCAGGUAUGAUUGAUUCAAGCCCUAACCUUAAUUGGUAAUGAGUGGAUACCACACCUAAUUGCAUUCUUCUUUCGUUGCAAAAUAAUGAGAUUAUAAUAAUCUAGCAAAUAAGAAAAAAUAGUAUGGAAGUUCAAAUUAACACCAUAACUAUCAAUAAUUUUAAGCUUAUAGAUGACUUAAAUGAUUGAAAACUAAUGCAAAAUACUAAAAAAAAAAAAAAUCAUCUAAAGAAUUCACAAGAGAAUAGAACGAACAAAACCAAAUAGGAACAUGGGUCAACAUUAGUUACAGAUUUUGAUCCCUUUCAAGGCCAAUCUUUGAACCAAGACUUCAUCAAAUCUACUACUUCAAAGGCUUUUGUGUUCUUCUUGAGUUGUACUCUGGAACAAAGACUUCGAGGUGAUGCUUUAGAUGAUUGCAUUACACAUAUUUAGGGUAGGGAGAUUGGAGAAGCUUGAAGAUGCCAACGAUGGGUACAAUUGAGUGGUCAAUAAGAACAAUGUGGCCUAUGACUAGUUUGAUGUCAUGGUAUAGGAGUUUUGGGCAUUGAGGUGAAAGCAAGAGCAACAUGGAAUUGAUUUCAAAGUCUUUCAAUUAGUGUAAAGGAGGAAGAAGAAGUGGUAUUGAUCCUAGAAAUAGUGUUUUAGGUGUUGCAUUAGAGGAAAAGAAAAAGAAAAAGAAGGAACCAUUGGAAUUAGUACGAGUGUGAAGAGAGAAGUGUAUACAUAAGGGGAAGUAAAAGCAAAGUUCUAAAAAUUUAUUUUUUUAUUGGUGGUGUAUGGUUGCAUGAUUAUCCCUAUAAAUAAUAGGAGUUUUUUGGUGUUCUACUAGUAGUUGAAGGAUAAUUUCAUAAGAUAAUAUUUAGAGCGGGGUGGGGUGAGUUGUGACAAAAUCCAUACCCGUCCCAAACAUUGGUUCAGGUUUUUAAAAUAUUUUCAAACUUAUCAUAUACCCAAUUUUAUAUUUCAUACUUGUCCUAAUAGAGACAGGUUAGUCAGGGUUACUUGAGUAGCCUACAAAACUAUCAUCCCUAGUUGAAAUGCUCUUUUUGGCAGUGGCAGCUAGAAGCUCGAUCGAUUGACCUACAAGACUAGUUGUCAUCAUUUUAAAAAGAGUUUUGGCUUUGGUUGUGAGUGCAAUUGAAUCUAAACUAACAUUUCCUUAAUGCAUCUACUUCAAUCCUAAACUUCUUACUUAAGCCUCAAUUGUUGUUAAGAUUUUGGAAAACCCAUUUCCUUAAAUUGUAAAUUUAAGAAAAAAAAAAUUAAAAGUGAGACAUUUCUUGAUUGAAUGUUGUUAAAGGUCCCUUGGAAUUAAGACUUGGUUGAAGCCUUGGAAGAUUAGCAGAACUCUCAACUUAUGUUUGAACCUUGAGGAGAGUGGACGUAGGCCAAAAUUUUGUCAAACCAUUAUACAAAUUGAGUUUGAAUUCUCAUUUCUUGAUUUCUUAUUUAUUUGCUUUUUCUUAUUAUUACUUGAAUUGUCAUUUGCAUUCAUUAAUGUUAAAAUUGGUUAUAAUUAGCCAACACUAAUUCUCUUUCCCCUUCCCUUAAUUUCUUGGGUGUAAACCUAGGUUGGAUUAACUAGAUUUUAUCAAAUCUAUUAAGAUGGUAAAAGAAUAAUUAUUCUUAACAUACAUAAGAUCAUCUUCAAUCAAAUGACUCAUUGGCUGAUAUGUUGAAUUUGCUUAUUACUUGCAACUCAAAAUUGUGUUCUAGUUGAUAUGUCAAGUCCUGAGUGUAUGGACAUUAAAUUUGUAGUACGUGAUGAGUAUUUAGAUGGUCCAAUUCCAAGAAAGUGAUUGAAAACUAGUUCAAGAAAGGUGCAAAAGGGAAUUGUUUUGGUAUUUUCGUUUUUAUUCUUGAAGGUGGCAGAGCUAAAAUUUGAGAAAUCAAGCAAAACAUACUGAAAUUACAUUGAAAGAAAGAAAAUGGGAGUUAAUGUCUUGCAGUACAUGAUAAGGACUUCAUGCAUGUAGUGUGACCCAUGUCUUGGACUGAUGCCACACUCACGGUUACACUUAUACCCUUAGUUCUCUCUUUACUACCUUAGCUAACCUAGAUCAGGUUAUGAGAUAGGCACCUCACCACACCAUUACUUGCCCAUUAAUUAGUGACAUUUUCAAGCAAUGAGGUAACAUGGUGACACCAAGAGGGUAUAUUCCUCACCCCCAACAAGCCUAGACCUGGUCUAAAAAAAAUGGAGAAAAAUGACGUGUUGUUAUGCAGAAAUAUAGCAACCAUGCCUUCCUCAUUACUUAGAUUCAGAAUGUGAAGGUGAAAUUGAGAAACAGAAACUCUUGAAACCAAAAUGAAAAUUGAUACUUUUACGAAGAAUUACAACAACAUUAGAGGAAGACUACAUUCUUCCUCUUUAUUCCUACAUUUCUACACUACUUCUACUCCACUCCAUAUUUCUACAUACAUCUUUAAUCAGUCUUCCCUCCUUUAUAUAGAGCCAUCUUCACACAAAUUCCGCAAGGUAGAAAAGAGGAAUGAAACUUGGAGCAAGGUUCGACUACUGGCUGUAGCUUGUCAAGGCUGAAAGUGAACUUUUUUUCUUGGCUUUUCUGGGCAUAGGUAGUAACUUGUAGGUUCCUUUUUGGAAUGAAAAUGGUACGGCUAGAACAUGUGGCACUCUCUUGUUGGAUGAUGUGUCAAGCAUGUGGCAGCCAUCUAGUGGAGAUUAUGUCAAUUUUGGGAUGGAGAGUUGGCAUCCAAUUGCAAAGAAAUAUGACAUCUACCAACAUGCAAUGUCAACCUAUGUAGAUCAUAUGAAGAUAGAGAGGAAAAAUAUAGAAAUGGAUAUAUAACUAGAACUAGCUUUUUAUUAAAUGAGACGGAGAGCCAACAAUGAAGGAAAAUCAAAAUUUUUGGCUCAUAUCAAAGAAUUCACAUUGUGUUACCCUAGGUUUUCUUAAAACUUACUUUUAUGAUAAUAAAAAAUCAUUAUUGUUUAAUCCUUUGUUUUAAACGCAUGUUUAGCAGGUUGUAAAAUGUAAAUAUCUUUCGAAAUUCAAAUAUGAAGAUAUGACAUCAUUUCAAGCAAUAUAGUCUCUAGGAAUUAAUGUAAAGCUAAAUUAAGGUGCAAUUAAGUUAGUUCAAUGCAUUAUUUUAAGAAACUUGACCUAUCAAAACCUUGUCUUACUUCAAAGCCUCUUUUUCUUUUCUUCCAACUAACAUUUUAAUAAGUGAUCGCAAAAGUACAAAAUUAGAUGAAAUCCAUUUCAAUGGUUAAAAUGAUCAAAUUCAAACUUUUUCUAAGUAUCUUUUAAAAGCAUCAAUAUUGAAAGACAAUUUUAUAUUUAGUCAAAGCUUGGACAGAGCCAAAAAGCACACAAAAAUUUAUAUUUUCUAGCUCUCUACCUUGGAUGGUCUCUUGAUCCUACUUGGAGAUGUGCAUAAAUAAAAGGAUUUGAAAAUGACAAUUGACUAAGUAUGUAGUCAAUCAAUUACUCAUUGAUUGACUAGUUGAUCAAUUAACUUUGCAACAUCAUAUGCAAUCCUAAUAGCUAGUCAUCUAAUCAACUAGGUAGUAAAUCAAUAGGCCAAAAAUAUGUUUAUAAUGACUAUUUUGUACAAAAACCACUUAUAUAGUUAAAUAUAAUGCAUUUCAUUUAUAAAUCUUCUAAUUCUUGAAUAACAAUCCUAUCAUCCUUUGAAAGUUUUUAUUACACCUUUUCUACAUUUGUUCUAAAACUUAUACAUCACCCUUAAUUGUACCAUGAGAACCUAGCAUUUUUUUUUUUUUUUUUGUAUUUCAUCAAAGUUAGCUCUUGUACUCAUUGUUGUAUUAUUUUUAUUGUAACUUAGAGAGCGAGUGUUUUCAAGUGAGUGAAAUUGACUUGUAAAUAUUGUAAAGAUUCAUUGAUAUGUAUCUCAAACUAGGUGUACAAGUUGAAACAUUUGCUAGUAGAUUUUCUCAAGAUUUAGAAUGAGCUUAAGGCUAUCGAAUUAGGUGGGGUUGCGCCAAACCAUAUCACAUCGUUGUUUGCACCUUUUUUUUCACUCUCUUUUACUUAGUUGCUCUAUAUAUAUUGUCUAGCAAUAUCCUAAAGGCUUGAUGGGCUAGGGAGCAUCCCUCUGAAUGAAAAAUUUUCAUUCAAUUCUUAGUUGUAUUACGCAUAUAUAAAAUGCCUCAUUGUUUUAAUGGUAUUCAGUCGUGGCACCACAGAUAUGGACAUCUAAAUUUUAAAAGUUUGAAACUUUUAGCUAAAGAAAAUAUGGUGCUUUGCCUUUUUGGAAAGCAUGUUGAUGAAAUCCAUGAGAAUUGUAUACUUGGAGAGCAACAUCGAGAUAACUUUUUUUUUUUCUUUUUUUAUAAUGCAUUGUUUGUCCAAAUUCCGUACAAAUUAGGCCACCACAUGUUCAUAAUUCUCCCUUCUUGAAUUUGAAAACUCGGACAAUUUGACAAUGCGACACCUAAGUCCGGUUUUUAAAUGCUAAAGUGAAAGGGCAGGUAUGGACCAUUGAAAUGUGAUAACAACUUUUGGCCUUUUCCUUUUCUCUGUAGCCAUGUUGUCUCUUUUUAAUUUCUUUUGCAUGAUUUUCUUACCUAAACAGAAUCAUAGACUUGUUUAAUCUCUAAGUGGGAUUUCAUCCACCUUAAGCUACUGUAUUAUAUCUCGGUGGAGGACAACCGACAUAGAGCACAUGCAAGUGGGUAUAUGGGACAUGAAAUAUCUUCUUAUAAAGCUUGUUUUGCAGUUAAAUUAAUUGGAUAAGUAGACACUGGCGUUUCUAAAUUUCCCACCUAAGAUAAUGACCUUAUCCUUGACUGCUAGAUACACAAACAAUUAUACCUUCAAAAUCUACUGUGAAGUGCUUCAUGUAUGUGUGAAGUAUUAGAAAUUUCUUUCUUGGCAACUUGUUUUUUUCUUUGCGGUCUACUGAUAGGUUUGACUAAAAUUAUAUUCCCUGUCCUGCUAAUUAAUUUUCACGUGCAUGCUCAAAAGAAGAGUAUGACCUUAGUGCACCAAAAUCACUUUCAAUAAUUUGUGAUAAGUUUUUUUGCAUGACAUUAACCUUAUUCAUUUAGAUAAUGUUUAGUUCUCAUAAAUAUUAAGAAAAUGAAAAUAAAUAUUAAGAAAAAUAUUCUUAUAUUUGAUUGUAUUAUGAAAAAUAUCAUAAAAAAUCAAAUAUAAUUAAAAUUAAUUAAUAAUUUAUAUAUUUUAAAAUUAUUUAAUUUUUAUAUUAAAGAUAUAAUAUAAAUGAAAUGAGUUUUAAGUAUUAUAUAAAAAUGAUUUAUUUAUUUAUUUAUAUAUAUAUAUAUAUAUAUAUUUAGUUUUUCUCUUUAUUUUAUUUUCCUUAUGUUUUCCUCACAUUUUCCGGAAUCAAAGAUAGGGAAAUCCACAAUUACCUUCAACUGAGUAGAUUCUAUUGUUUUAGCAAUGUUAGGCUGCUAACUUGUGGUGGUACGAACCAAAUGAUCCAUGUUAAUCUUGGCUUGAUUUAAUUUGGCUCUAUCUCAGAGAACUCAAGGAUCACGUCAACUCUGGUUUCUACUAUUCAGGUCCAUUCCCAGAUGAACUGGUUCAAAUUUGAGAAAAUGGUAACAGACCUUUAGUGAUAUUGGUUUGGAGCCAGUUGCCAAACCUGCCCUGAGCUUUACCACUAAUGUCAAGGGACAAAGCCAUUUGAACAAAAACAAUAGCUUCAAGAGACUGAAUCGUGGAUGAAAUCUGAUCCACAUUUCUUCUCAUUUUGGGAAAAAAUGAGGACUUAACCACAAAGAUUCUACUGCCUCAUAGUGCUUUUCCUGAUCUAAGGUUGGCUCGUUUCCCAAAUUGUGAGGUGCACGUGCCACUCUCACGCUCAGGAGUGUAUCCACGUGGUGGACAUAAGAUGGUGGCUUAAUAUCUGGUGUCGGUGGCUUUACUUUACUAGGAGAGUAGUGUGUCUUCAUCUCAUUCACUGCCAGAGGGUGGCGUAAGCAGUGACGCUAAGGUGGGGCACAGUCAAUAUCAUUUGCAUUUGACCAUUAUAAUUUUCUCCCGGCUUUAAAGUAACCUUAUCGUGAUAAUGGAUUACUAGCACUAGUUCAGAUGACAGUCAUGUUAAAUUCGGACCAUGUUUGUGUCACAUUAUCAGCAACCAUGUGCUUGUGGUUCAUGCUAUCUGCAACUAAACUUGAUAUAUAACCAGGUGAACUUCAAUCUAAAUUCUGGAAGUACUCAUGUGAUAGAUGGUGCCUGUCUGCAGUGAGUGUAUCUAUAAGAGGGAAGGCUUGGCAAAUGUUCAGUUUUCUGGGAAUUCAACAGGGAUCUAAAAUAGAUUGUUUUCUUUGCUGAUUUCAAUGGUUGAAAUUUGAGAAGAUUGUGUCCACAUAACACAACUAUUACUGGUCCUUCUGUUGCAAUUUAUCCUCUAAGGCUCUAACAUGUCUUCCAAUUCCCACUUCCCACUUCCCUGUUACUCCAGGAAAGCUGUUUCUGUCAUUGUGAAGAAGAAAAGAGACUGUACAUAUCGAUGCUUUUAAGUGGACUGGAGAAUUCAUAUCAGGUGGUCUGCAGCCAUACAUGCCACUUUGUGAAGGUUGGAACAGUCAAUCACUAGGCUAUAUUAGUGGGGCCCAGCCACUUCAAUCAAGGACAAGUCUUCAUACUUAAAGUCAAAUUCUGCCUUUAGUCUCAUUAUAAAUUGCUGUUUAAAUAUCAAGCAAACAUUUGUUUAAUGCGAUUAAGACAGCACUAACUCAAUACUUGUUCUAUUUUUGGAUGCAAAUGCUUGAUAGUUUCAUCAUUGGAGGGGAUAAAGGUGCAUUCAUGAUUAUGAAUACUUGUAGUUAUAUUUUCAUUCUCUUUUUUCUCAAUGGGACUUGUUGGCACAAUUUUGCUGUUCAGAAACCUACCUCUCCAUGGAAAAUCAGUUGUGAUUGAUAUUACUGGAUAUAUUCAAGAAAGCUAAAUGUAGAUAGCACAAAAUAUUAUCGACAUAAAUAGCAUUAACAGCGUACGUAUGUCUCAAUGCUCAUCAGCUAUAAGCAAGGGGCAAACACUUACUAUGAGCAACUUACGUCAAAAUUCCGGAAUAGGACAUAGAAGUGACAGGUCAGUAAAUAUAGAACACUGCAUAUGAGUCACAAGAAAGGAAAUUACGGGUACAUAGCAGCUCUUAUUUUACAUCCUACUCAUACUGAUCAAAGUCACUCAGUUGGGAUGGGUGGGAGUGGGAGGUUUGUGGGGUGGCUUGUGCGGAGGAGUUGGCAGCUUCUUUCCAGGACCUGGUUGCUUCUCUGCUGGAGUUGAAGGAGGCUUAAUCUUCCGAGGUGGCUUGUAUGAGUCUUCAGCAUUCUCAGCAGGAGGGUGACCAGGGUUGUGACCACAAUGUGGUGGCUUCUCUCCCUUAGGUGGUUUGCCAACUGGGGUUGGUGGCUUGUGUUCCGGAAGUGGCUUCUCUUUGUGUUCAGGAGGUGGCUUCUCCACUGGAGGCUUGUGUUCAGGAGGUGGCUUCUCCACCGGAGGCUUGUGUUCAGGAGGUGGCUUCUCCACCGGAGGCUUGUGUUCAGGAGGUGGCUUCUCCACCGGAGGCUUAUGCUCUGGUGGUGGCUUCUCCACCGGAGGCUUAUGCUCUGGUGGUGGCUUCUCCACCGGAGGCUUAUGCAAUGGUGGUGGCUUCUCCACCGGAGGCUUGUGUUCAGGAGGUGGCUUCUCUACCGGAGGCUUAUGCUCUGGUGGUGGCUUCUCCACCGGAGGCUUAUGCUCUGGUGGUGGCUUCUCCACCGGAGGCUUGUGUUCAGGAGGUGGCUUCUCCACCGGAGGCUUGUGUUCAGGAGGUGGCUUCUCCACCGGAGGCUUGUGCUCUGGUGGUGGCUUCUCCACCGGAGGCUUAUGCUCUGGUGGUGGCUUCUCCACCGGAGGCUUGUGUUCAGGAGGUGGCUUCUCCACCGGAGGCUUAUGCUCUGGUGGUGGCUUCUCCACCGGAGGCUUGUGUUCAGGAGGUGGCUUCUCCACCGGAGGCUUAUGCUCUGGUGGUGGCUUCUCCACAGGAGGCUUGUGUUCAGGAGGUGGCUUCUCCACCGGAGGCUUAUGCUCUGGUGGUGGCUUCUCGAAUGGGGGAUGCGUAGGGUAAUCAGCUAGUGAGGGGGCGGUGAGAACCACCAGGCCAAGCAACACUACUAGCAAGUAUGUAGGAGACAUCUUUGGGUUUGGGCUCAGAUGGUGCAAAACUAGGAGAAUUGGCUAGCCUUUUAUAGCGGAUCGUACCCAAUAAUGAAAUGACACGUGUCAUUAUGACCCAUGUGUCAUGUGGUCGAUUUGGGUCCUACAGUGUUGAAAACUUCGACAUCCACUUUUUUGGCCUUUUGCUUUCUCUACAGUCGCCUUGCUUUUUCCCUCUUUUCUUUUGUUUUCCUCCUGCCCCAUUCUAUCAACUAAUCACAAUUAUGUAGUUGUUUAAUUCUUAAAUGAGAUAUUAUCCGUCAAUCAUAUUAUCUUUUAUCAAGAGAGAACGGAGUGAAAAGUGGCAAUCCAAAGAAAGAAGAUCCAUAAUGCAGCUGUAAUUUUAUCGUUUACUUUUAUCUCUAGGACCACUGCAUUUUUGUUGAGAGGUGCAAUAAUACACGUCUUUAUCUGCCAUUCAAUGUUUACAGUAAAGAGAGGGCACAAAACUCUUCACUGCUCUGCAUGUGCCCCAAAAAUGCAAUUGGACAAAUUAUGAUUUGCAUGCUAAAAAGAGGCAAAUGAGGUUAAUUAGCACCAAAAUUAUUUUGUUUUCUGGACACCCCGGGGCCCUUUGGUUGGUUUGGGGGUCAGAAAAUGAACAUCAUAGGGGGUUUUUCCCUAAUGUGCAUUUGCAUUUGUAUCUGAUGGCUUUAACUCGCCUUGUUACUACAAAGAAAUUGUCACAGAUAGGAACUUAUUCCAGGCUGAGUAUCUCCGCAUGGACCCUAUAAAAGAAGACAAGUCAUAAUGAACAUCUAACCUUUGUUCAAUUUGAUUCAAUGCCCCUAUUGUGUCCAUCUCACAAAUCUGAAUUAUUAUAUCCAUUGAAUACAUAAAUUAAUGAAGAAAAUAUGAAACCCAAGAUACAUCUCUGCACAACCUCAACCCUGGUUGCUAUGUUUCACUUCUAUUCACAUGAGGAUAUUGAUUACGGAAUAAGGAAACCUAGCAAGGGUUUACUCGGCUCUGGUUUGAUGCUAAUUGCCAAACUUGCAACAAGCCCUGAGUUUGACACCUAAUCGAUGGGCGAAUUAAAAGUCUCCUCCAAACAUAUAUUCCACAGCUUGAAGCUCACAGAAGAUGCUAUACAGGCAGGGAAAAACCUUCAGAGUUAGCUACCAAAGAUAAUUAUCAAGGAGAUAUCACCAAGAGAAUUCCAUGGAGUCUGAAUCAAAGACAAAUUGCUCGCUCGUGGGGGUUCUUACUUAAUUUCUUUUGGGUAUAACUCACUGAGGGCACUGGCUUUGUUAUUUGCAUUUCGCAUUUAGAGUUCUGUUCUGGAAGGUUUGUUCUGGAAACAUAUAAAAGGAGCAUCAUUUUGUUCUAGGGUAACCCAUAGUUGUGAGUGGGUCCAUUUGCAUGCUACUUAGUUGAAAAGUUGGACAAUUUGCUCCGACGCCUACCUCCUGGAUUCCAUGCUCGGAUAAAGCAAGAAUAAUAAAAUAUUUAUAAUUUACAAAUGGGGGAAAGAAAAAAAUGUCAACAACAAACUAGGAAAAAAGAGUAGUAAAAUUUAUGCCACAUGCUAUUGAUAGAAGGGGCAUGUAUUAGAUCCAUCACCAUUUGGUAAGAUUUUAGUAUUAUAUUUUUCAAGGUUCAUUAUUUGAGGGUGUGUUCUUCAUCUCUGUUGCAUUGCUUCUUACUAGGCCCACUGAGGUGGGUUCUUCACCUUUUGUAUAUUCUCUGCACUAGAUCAAUGAGAAAGGGGGAAUUUUGGUGAAUUUGCAGCCGUUGGAUGAUUGAUUCUAGGCUCAGUCCACCAAUGAUGCUCUCUUCACUCUUUCUCAUCUAGUGUCAUUCACAACUAUGUUUUGAUUCAUAUUUGUACUAUCAAAGAUAUCUCAUUAUUCUAGCUCAUUAGGUAGAGUUCCUAAUCUUCCUCCUUUUUGGUCUAUGGACAGUAUUGGCUUCAUAUUAAGAUCAUGUUUCAAUAAUUGCACAUUAAUGAAUGGAUCAUGACCCACAUAAACAGAGUCAGGGUUGAGUCAGUGAACCCUAAAAUUUCACAAUUCUAAAUUUGGGUUCUUUAACAAUGCAGGGUCAAGGACGCGUGGUGAUGAAGGAAAGCUGGUAAGCUCAGUGUUACUUCAAUUCCUGCCAUGUAGGAUGGUGAGGAGAUAUUCACUAUGCAAUUAAUAAUAGACAAUAUUCACUAUGCAAUAAUAAAGCAUAAAUUAAGUUGAAUGAAAAGCAUUUUCUUUGCAAGGAGUUGAUUUUGGUUUCAUAGUUUGUUCAACUGCUAUUUUGGAUAGGAAAGUGUGAGGAGAAGAAAAUAAAAAAUAAAAAUAAAACAAAAAAUAAAAAAUAGAUUUUAUAAAUUCAUUUAAUUUAUUUUUUUUUUAUAAAAAUUAACUAAUUUAAAAUAUAUGUAAAUUUCUAAUUAAUUUAAUUACAUUUUUUUUUUCAGUUUUUCAUAAUAAACCAAAUAUUAGAAAAUUAUUUUUAUUAAGACACCCAAGAUGAGGUAAUAUGCAAUGAAAACAUGAAUUAUAUUAAAAUUCAAAACAAAUUAAGAGAAAUCGGAAAAUAUACAUAGAUAUCUAAACAAAGAAAUUUAAAGAGAAGGAACCACAAACUUUAUUUACAUAAUUUGAAAAUAAAAAACAUAAAACAUACUUAUAGUAAGGAGAAAUUGAAUAUCUUACAAUGGAAGAAGGGAGAAAAGCUUUGAAGAAAGCUUUUGCUUGGAAGCUUACAUGGUGAGAGGUAGAGAAAGGAGAGAGAGAGAAGAAAAUGAAAAAUGAGAAGUGGAGAAAAUUGGAAGUUUUGUGUGCUUACAACUGAGGAUAGAGCCUCCUUAAAUAGCAAAAAAUGGAAUAUUAAAUAGUACCAAUCAGGAGACAAAAUAUUGUUUGCUUUUGAAACCCGUGCAUGAAUAGUAAUCCCGUGAGUGAAUAGUGAAUAAUAAAAGUGAAUAGUAAAAGUCACUUUCUACUAUAGCACUUUAGACUUUUUCAUCGAGAAUCUUACUUUCGGCUGAGUGAUGAUAGCUGAUAGGUUGCUUUGGAUUGUGGAGUCAUAUGUUUGAUGUUUUCGGUGCUGAAACCGCUUAGUUGGAGAAUAAUCUCGUCAGUAGAGCAUCAUGAGAAGCUUGAAUGGAGAGAGCUUAAUGAUGCCAUAUGAUUGGAAGGAAUCCUAUUUUAAUUUCCUUAUUGGAGGGAGAAUACCCUCACAAUCAUCUUCAUUAUCUUGAAGGUAGUUUGAUAUAGAGUCAUCUGACUCAGCAUAAGAGUCCUCUUGGGAGAAGCUUGAACUGCUUUUGUCAAGGAUUUUCUGAAAUUCUUGAGGGGUUUUUGCUAUUGCUAACAUGGUUUGGAGUUGCUGUUUCUUAAGAAGAAACUGUGCAAUAUCAUAAGAUGAUGAAGCUUGUGUAGGAUGCUUUAGGAAAUAUUGCUUUAUUGCUUGUAGUGAGGUAUCAUUUUUCAAGGCAUCCCACCACUUAGACUUGAAAGUCCUUCCAAGGGUUGGAAAGGCUGCUGAUUCAUCUGCUAUAAUGAUAUAAUCCCACUGGACUAUCCAGGCAAGGCCAAAUUCACUAAAAAAGAAUAAUAAUUGGGGAAAACUGAAAGUUCUCUAGGGAUAACAAAAGAACUUUGGAAUAGCUCAAAGCCAUCCAAAAUGGGUUUUGGGAGAAUUUUAAUAGUUGGACCAAAAUAUGUCCACCAAUUGUGGAACCAAAAUGGAAAAGAGGGGAGUUGAUGCUUAGAUGGGAAAUAGAACAUCCCUGAAUGAUGGAAGUCCUUGUUCUGGAUCAGAAAAGCAUUGAACCAUACUCUUUGGUAGUCUCAAUAAUUGAAAAUUUUAGGUUUUGAAGGCUUAGAAAAUUCUCUUGAAAAAUUAGGAUUCCCACCCCACUGCUUAACUGUAAGGAUUUUAUAAAUAUGGUAAGUGGAGAAUGCCAAAUCCAAAUUGCUGAAUUUAUCAGCAUUGUGCUUGAUUUUAACAGAGCCGGUUUCCAUAAGGAUUGCUUCAUAAAAUUCUCUUGUUUUUAAAAGAUCACCAAAGGGAUAAUGAAAAUUUUCAUGAAAAGCUUUUGCUGCAAUAUCUCUAGGGUUUUUAGAGAAAAACUCUUUUUCAAUAACCAAAAGAGGUUGAUUUAAAUCUUUUUGCCAAUAUCUUGCUUUUGCUGAAAGAGGUGUGGGGUUGGCUACCACCACAAUUUGCUUAUUUGAAAAAGAAGAGCUUGAUGCUAAUUCAUUUUGAGAGGGAUUAGCUUUAGUAACCUGCUUAAAGGUCUGAGACACAGUAAUAGUUGGAUACUGAGUAGCCUUGACUGGUUUAGAAGGAUUCGAAGGAUCAUAGUACAAGGACAAAAUCUUAUUAGGCAUAUGGUCAGAAGAAUGAAGCCUUGCUUCUUCUUCUAGCUCAACUUGUUGGCUCCAAAGUAUUUUAUGGGGAGAAGGUUCUUUGCUGGUUUUAGAAGACUAGGAUUCUGGAAGUUUAGGAGCUUGGGUAUUCUUUUUAGGGGCCAUGGUUUCGUGAAUCCUGUAAAAUUCACAAGUUAAGAAAUCAGGGCUCGAAGAAUGUUCUCCUUUAAUAUACUCAAUUUGUAAAUUAAAAUUGCUUAAAAUAGCUUGAUAUAUAGCAAAAAUAUGCUUAGAAGUUAUAUUCUUAACAUCCUUUUGUAAAACUAAUUUUGCAAAUUUACAAUCAACUCUUAAUAAAAACUUUUGAUUCAAAAGAUCAUCUUGAAAUUUUGAAAUGCAUAAAACAACGCUUAAAGUCUCUUUUUUAAUGAUGUUAUGAAUGAGUUGGGUAGUAUUCCAGGUUCUUGAAGUAUACCUAACUAACAUCUCAAGGUUACCAACACUUUGCUUAAGAAUCCCACCAUAACCUAUGUCUGAGGUAUCGAUCCCAACAAACUCAAAGGUUUCUGGAUUGAUAGAGCCUAAACAUGGUAGGGUCUUGACUUUGGACUUAACAUCAAUAAUGAAAACAAUGGUGAAAACAGAAAACUGGUUAAAGUUUUCAUCCAUUAUAUUCUGGAAUUCUGAGGUGCAUUCUUAAGAUCAAAGGGCAUUAUGAACCAUUCAUAAUGUCCAAGAGAUACCACAAAGGUGGUCUUAUUUGGAAUAGGACACCUAAUCCAACUUAAUGUAUCAUUAAGAGGCAUGUAGUUGACGACUAGUCUAGGUGUUCCUUUUUCUGAUUCAACUUGUUCCUGAACAUAGAAGGUUGAACAACUCCAAAGGGACUUAGACUUCCUUAUCAACUUUUUAUCAAGAAGAUCCCAAAUCUCCUUAUCACAAUAGCUUAACAAACCCUUGUUCAUCUGGAUAGGUCUUGAUUUAGUGGGAAUAUUCUUGUCACUAAAGUCUAGUUCAUAAGGUAAUUCUACCUCAUGUUGUUUCCUAUGCCAAAAUGCAUUAGGAAUGUUAGAGCAAACUUCUUCAACAAUCAGAUUAAUUUCUUGCUCAUGACUUUCCUUAGCUUGAAUCACCUGAUCCCUUAAGGUGUUUAUAUUUUUCUUAUUAGGUGGUUGGCAAAUUCAAAAAUAAUUUCCUUAUCUAAGAGCUUUGUUCUUAUACUUUGGUCAUCUACCCACAUGGGAUAGAUGGAGCUUAAAAAGGGGAUUCCAAGGAGAGCUUUCUCCUUAAGAUCCUUAACUAGAAUGAAGGUUUGCUUGAUGCAAAUGCCUUGGUUAUUUAUGUGAGCAUCUGACAGCUUAUACUCAAUGUCAAGCCUUUUACCAUUAGCUCCAAAGAGAGAUUCUUUGGUUUUCUUACAAAACUUAAUAGGACCUAGACCUUCUUGUAGGCAAUUCAAAGCUGUUCCUGAAUCAAUCAAAGCAACAAUAUCAAUGACAAAUUUACUCUUAAUUACUAUAGUAAGGGAGACUUUCCACCUCUGGAAAAUAACCCUACUAACAGUAUUUAAGUAUCCAUCCGUCUUUUCAUCAUUAGCAUGUGAAGAUUCUAGAACCUCUUCAAGGUUUUCCUAGUUAUCAACAAGAUUUUCUAUAACAAUCCUAUUUAUUUGUUCUUGGAGAUCUGAAAAACCUAAGCUUGUGUAUUGUCUUAAAUCUUUAAUUUCCUUCUUAUACUGUCUUACUUCUUCUUGAAGAUCCUUAAUGGUUACGUCUUUGGUAGACUACUGGUUAAAUCUUCCUAAGAUUUCAUUUAAGUUAUAAGAAUUUACUGUCUUCUUAAUCUCUUGCUUAUCGACAAAUUUCUUAAAAACUUCAUAAAGAUCUUGUUUAGUUUUUUCAUCUUCAACUUUCCUUAAAACAUCUAGGACAAGUUCUUGAUCUUGGCUUAUGACAUUUAUAGUCUUAGGUUGGCAAUCACAAUUAUCCUUAAUGUAUUCUUCUUGGUCACUAGAAGUUUGGCUUGAGAUUUCCUCACCACUACUAUCUAGUUGGUUAAUACCAUUUUCAUUAUCUGAAUCAAUCCUUGAUUCAGACUCUGUGGAAUUUAACAUUACUUUACAAAGCAUAUCUUUUAAGUCUUCUGUGACAUUUAAGUUAUUAAUUUUCUGCUUAACCCUACAAUCUUUCUUAUAGUGGCCUAUCUUACCACACUUAAAACAAACUGGCUUAGAUUGUGAAGGAGCUUCUAGCUUUUUAUGGGCUUCUUUGUUCAUCAUUCUUUGGAUGUGCCUUUGUUUCUUAGUUUCAUUCAUCCUAUAGUUGCCAUGAGUUCCUCUCUUGUUGUGAUAGGACUUUUCCUUACUAGGCUUUGUACUUACUUGUUUCUUACGUUGCUUAGAGGGGGGCUUAGUUUCUUUUUGGUUGAAUCCAAACUAGCUACAAAAUGAACCAAACUCAUUCUUGUAGAUCCUUUGUUCAUUUUUCAUCUGUUGCUUAAGCUUAAAGUCAUUGCACAGUUUAAUUGCUUCUGAUGUGACAAUGCUUAUAAUUUCUCCAUAAGAAAGCUUAUCAUAAGGGAUUUGUCCAUUAAACUGUUCCCUUAUCUUAAUCCUAAUCCUCUCAGAGAAAAGUCUAGGUAGUCCUAAGAUGAAUUUUUCUUUCCAAAAAGACUGGUUAUAGUUUGAUCUUAGUAUGACUUUGGUUAGGAAAACUUCUCUAUACCAUCUAAAGUCAUGAAGCUUGGGACACUUAAGGUUGGUUAAGAGAUCUACAAUCUUAUCCUUAAUCUUUGCAGGAUCUCCAAUGAAGUGCUUUGAAAUUGAAUAGAUUAGAGUAGCCACUACAUCCUCUAUAUCUUGUCCAUCUUCAUCCUUAACCACUUCAUUUUCCUCAUUAAUCCUAUAGGCUUUUAGGAUACCAUUUCUAUCCUCAAAGGUGAGAUAAUUAUCCCACCAACCCUAAAGUUGACCUGUAAACCCAACAACAAUUGUUUGAGCUACAGCAUGGCCUGACAAUCUAUUGUUUAACUUAUAGGUUGUACUAACCAUGGUCAUUUCUUGAAGCUUAGUGAGUAUGUUGUACUCAAUCAUACCAUCUAUGUUCCAUUCAUAGAUAGUGUCACUAGUGUAGGAAGCUUGAGUAUGCUGGUUUCUUUCCUCAUACUACAUAUCAGGAAAAGUUGGUCUAGGGUAGUAAUUCCUAGUUCUUGGUUGUUGAUAAUCCUCAUAACUGUUUGGUUAGGAGGUUCCUUAAAAAUCUUAAUUAGUUCAUCAGCCUCUGCUUCAGAACUAAUUUCUCCUUUAACCAUAUUGAUUCUCUUGUGAGAUGGUUGAGGUGUCUCAGAGACAACAAGGCUAUCCUUAACCUUUUGGCUUAUCCUAUCAAUGAGGGCUUGAUCAAUAUGGAGAUUCUCUAGGAAUUUCUUAGAGAAUUCAAAAGGCUUAAAUAAAGACUUAUUAUCUUUCUUAACAAACGUAGUCUUAAUGUAGUCUUGUGUUUCAAUGAUAUCCUCAAACUUGUUGAGUUGAUCGCCUGUAGUCUUAAGAAACAUGUUAGUGUAGUUGUUUUGUUCCAUGAUUCUUCUAACGUCAACAACACUAUCAAUUCCUUUAUUCUUUGGCCUAGUCUUAAAAGGUGAAGCUUUGACUAUGGUUCAAUUAAUGUUCUUUUAUAUCUUAGCUUCUAGAGGGUGGAUGGAUUCUAUGAUAGUAUCGUCACUAGUUUUCCAUAUCUUAGUUUUUUUGGAUGUGUCAUUGACACGCUUACUAGGGUAAUCUAGAUAUUCCUCUUGUUUGAAGAGUUCAAACCAGAUCCAAUACUUAAUGUUCUUCUUUUCUUGUCUUAAGUAUGUGUAGAAUUCUUCUUGGUAGAGGGUUCUAAUGUCUUUAAGGACCUUGCUAAAGAACCAAACUCUCCUUUUCUUAUUGACUUCAGAAUAGAAGUCUUUCCUUAAGAGGUCCUUGUUGAUUCAAAGUCUUCGUUAAUUAGGCUUACAGUGUUAAUCAACUGAGAAUAAGUAGGAGACAUAUCAGGAGAUUCGUCCUGAUGUGAUUCUUGAGUAAACUCAUUUUCCUCCAUGUAAAAGGGUUUGGCCACGUUGGUGUGACUUCUAACACCUGUUAGCUUAAUAUUCUUAGGAUUUGCUGAACUAGAUCCUUCCUCUAUCCUAGUGGUUCUUAUUGGGAUAGAUGAACUUGAAGCUCUAGAGGGCUCAUAAUAUGAAAUUCUAAGGCUGCUAGAAUGAUGAAAAGAGUUGGAGAAAAUUAGAUCUCGUUCUCCAUCAGGAUAUUGAACAAUCUGUUCAAUUCUUUCAGAUCUUUGCUCUAUGGCUGGGACAACAUUAGCAAAAUGCCAAUUUUCUGGAAACUCAACCUCAUUCCACUUGAUUUUCAUGGGGACUAUGAAAUUAGACUUGUUUAUCAUAUCUAAGUGGAAGAUAGUGGUUUCACCCUUGGGACUGGUGCACAAUGCUCCAAAUCCAACGCUUAUGGUCAUGCUCUUAUAGGCAAAUCUGGUGAUGAUGGAAACAUGAUUGUUUCCUUGCUUGAACUUAAAGUCAUGGGUCUUAACAUGAAGGACAACUGAAUCUAAGAUGUUGACAUCUCUUAGUCUAACUGUGAAGUUAGGGAAACACUGGAAAUAAACAGGACCAUCAUUUAAUCCUGCUUGGGUAGCUCCAAUAAUAGAAUCUCGGUAAUCAAGAUGUCUAUUAUCUCUUAAACACAUGACAAUAAAGGUGUUUAGACCUAGUCUUGUCAAGGGCUUAGCUGCAACUUGAAUCAUGCCAAAGUGUAUGAAGUUGUAGUCUCGCUUAUGCUUAUCAAUGGACUUACUAUCCAAGAGUCUUAUGACUUGAUCGUCGUGUUCUAAACUUACUGACAUUUCAGGGGUUUUAAUGGUGUAAUCUGUAAAGAACUUAAAGGUUCCUUUCUUAUAAAUUUCUUGAUUAGGUACCUUGGGUAACUUCCAAUCAUCUAAAUCAUCUUGGAUCUUAGGAUAAUUGAUCUCUUCAUUGUUUACUCUUGAGAAUUUGUGGAUUUCCUAGACAUGGUUCUGAAAAUCAAACUCAUUUUAAGGUUUUAAUCUAGAGCCUAAUAGCAGAUUAACAGACCUAGUGAGUAAUCACCCCAACCCUUUUCCAACCUUAACAAACGCCUAUCUCCAGCUAACAAUGGGCUCAACUCGGCAAGGAUCGCACUCAGGCACACUACUAUCUUUCCUAGGAUAGAUCAAAACACCCAAAACAAACCCGACUUCCUUUUCCUAGGAUAUAUAUAGUAUUUUGGGUUUGAGUAGGAGUUCAUGUUUUGUAUGUAAUUGUAGUCUACGUUGGACUAGGUUGUUUGCUCCUAAUUGAAAUAGGAAUGGUUGGUGUCACAUCUCAUUCAUUUUCUCAUCUAUUUCCAUGUUUAGAUAACUCAAGUAAUCAUAGGAAUGAAAUUAAGAAUGAUUUGAGGGAAAUGAAAUCUCACUUGUAAGUGGGAUCUCAAUUCAUCAUUAAUAGAAGGUAUUUUGAUUACAUAGUGCAAGUUAUUUUUAAAAACACUUUUCAAAAAUUGAAAAACCAAAAACUCUCUUGGAUAAGUUGUUUUUAAAAAGAAUUUUUGUAUUUUUAUUUUGUAAAAAAAAAAAAUAGUAAUUCAAUUUAUAUAAUAUAAAUAGACUUUAAUUUUAUUAAAAAUAAAAAUAAUUUUUUAAUUACAAAUAAAUUAAAAAAUAAAUAUUUGUAAUAAAAUAUGAAUAGUAAUAUUAUAAUAAAAUCAUAAAUAAAUUAAAAAUAUUUUUAAAAACAAAUAAGUUUAAUUUUUUUGAGGUACAAAUGAGCCAAAUUUUUCAUUAGGUACACAACCAACAAUUUUUAUUGGAAACAUUCCUCAAAAAAGAAUUCGUUUCCCAUAUAGCAAAGAUAUUUAUUAUUUAGUAUCUAACCAUCCGUAGUAAUCAUAUCAAUUCUACUAAGUUAUUUAAUAAUUCAUUUAUAUAUAGUACUCAAUUAUGAAUUUUUUUAUUUGAUGUAUAAUUAAUUAAUCAAUGUUUUGAAUUUUGAAUUAUUCUUAAAAUUUAAAACAUUAAUUAUGUCUAUUACUUUUUAUAGUCAUUAUAUAUAUAUAUAUAUAUAUAUAUAGAGAGAGAGAGAGAGAGAGAGAGAGAGAGCUUAAAUUUAUCUUUAAAAAUUAUUAAAUUUAUUAAUAAAUUCAAUACAAAGACUCAUUUGAUUUGAAAUUCAUUUCUUUAGUGAAAAUUUUGAAACUAAAUAGUACUUUGUUUUACUUUGUUUUUAAAUCAUACUCACAAAUAAGUUUUUAUCAUUUAGCCAAAAAAUCUCAAAGAUGUUUCUAAUUUUAUUUAUUUAUUUAUUUGUAAAUGAAAAUAAAAAAUUAGUUUAAACUAAAUAUGCGGAUAUUAUUGUUAAUUUAUUUCAUUUUUUAUUUCCAUUGUUAUUUAACAUUGAAACGGAAACAAAUAAUCAUUCCAAUCUUACAUUCUUAUAUGCAUCUAAACACAAGAAUUGAAAUCACCAAAUUCAUAUUCAAGGCAAAAUAGAAAUGGAAAAAAAAUAUUCAUUUUCAUUCCUCAUUCUCAUGUGCUAAACAUGACAUUAGUUCUACUACCUAUUUCACCAUUCUUCUUGAUAAAUUUGGUAUAUGCAAUAUUGAUCUAAGUGUGAGGUGAAUAAGAAUGAUGAUGGGAUGGGCUUGGAAAUAAGGGCAAAGUUUCUAGGUGCUAUCUAGAGGGGCAACGCGACUUUUUCAAAUUUCGAAUAUUUGUUCUCAACAUAAAGCAAAACUUUACUCACACAAUAGAUAAGACUCUGUUUGUUUUCUUCAUCCACGACUAUAUAAUGUAUAGCUCUUACUCAAGGGAUGAGCUACUUACUAUUAAGGAUUGGGUAAGAUAUUGCCUAAUGGCCAAGAAGGCAUGUCAAAAAAUAAAUCUAAUCACCAUAAAAAAUAAUAGGGGAAAAUUAAUAUAUUAUGAAUGAUGACUUUACUAUUUCUCUAUAUACAUAAUUAUAUAUUUUGAAUUUUCUCACUAGGUAAUGAGAUUCUAAAUCAACUGAAACAUAAUUAAUAAUUUAUAUUUUUAAUGAAUCUUUUAAUUUUUAAAAAUAAUUUAAAAUUUUAAAAAACAAUUCAAUUAAUUACAUAUUAAAUCAAAACAUUUCAAAAUAUUGUGUUUGUAGAUGAGUACUAAAUGCUUGCAUAUAAUAAUAAUAAUAAAAAAAUUGACUCAUUUAGAUGUUAAAAAAGUUAAAUGUUUUUCAUUAUUCAUUUUAAGUAAAAUAUUAUUGACAUUAUUAUUAUAAAAUUAUUAUUAUUCAUUUUUAACAAAAAACAAAAUAAGUUAUUCUUUUACCAAGAUGUCAAUAUCUAUAUUUUUCUAACAUAUAUUAAAAUAGUAUACUUUUCUUUUAUUAAAAAUAAUAAUUAUUAUUAUAUUAUUAUUCAAGUUUUAUUAAAAAAAUUUAUCUUUUAAUUCAUUUGUAAUUACAAAAUAAUUUUAUUUUAUUAAGAAUUUAAUUUAAUUACGCUUUUUUUUUUUAUAAAAAAAACAGUUAUGCUUUUACCAAGAUGUUAAUAUUCAUAUUUUUCUAGCUAACAUAAAUAGAAUAGUACACUUUUUCAUAUAAAAAAAUAAUUUAUGAUUUUAUUAUAAUGUUACUAUUCACAUUUUACUAAAAAUAUUUAUUUAUUUUAUUUAUUUUUAAUUAUAAAAUAAUUUUAUUUUCAAGAAUUUAAUUUUAAAAAAAUAGAAAUCAUUUAUUCUUUUACCAAGAUGUUAAUAAACAUAUUUUUCUAACAUAUACUAAAAUAAAAAAGUUUACUUGUUCAUUAAAAAAUAUAAUUUAUGUUUUUAUUAUAAUACUACUAUCUAUGUUCUACUAAAAAUAUUUAUUUAUAAUUAAAAAAUAAUUUCAUUUUUAAUAAGACUUGAACUAAAUUAAAUUUAUAAUUUUUUUUUAAAAUAAAAUAGAAAAUUAUUUUUUAAAAACAACUUAUUGAAAGAAAUUUUUUAUUCUUUACUUUUAAGAACUGUUUUUAAAAGCAACCUAUAAACCCCUUUGGGUCUGUUUGGCUAUGUUUCAUGCAACUUGUUUUUAAAAAUUGUUUUUUAUUCUUUAAUUUAAUUUUUUUUAAGUUAAAGAAUAAAAAACAACUUUCUAGUGUUUUAUAAAAAUGAGAGCUUUUGACAAGUUGUUUUUAAAAACCAUUUUUAAAAAUAAAAAAUAAAAAACUUAUUUAGAUAAAUUGUUAUAUAUAUAUAUAUAUAUAUAUUUGUAAAAACAUUUUAAAUUCAAUUUAUAUAAUAUAAAUUUAAUUUAAUUUAAGUCUUAUUAAAAAAAAAUUGUUUGGAUAAGUUUUUUUUUUUAAAUAGUUUAUUAUUUUUGUUUUGUAAAAACAUUGCAAAUUCAAUUUAUAUAAUAUAAAUUAAUUUAAUUCAAGUCUUAUUAAAACCAAAAUAAUUUUAUAAUUACAAAUAAAUUUAAAAAUAAUUUUUUUAGUAAAACAUGAAUAAUAAAAUUAUAAAUUAUAUUAUUGUGGACCCUGCAUUUAUGCUCAUGCGCUUCCACUUGUUGGCGAACUCAUUUUUUAUUUGAAAAUGAUUUAUUUUUUUAGAAAAUGACUUAGAGUCGCCACUUAUUUUUGUUUUAUUUUUAAAGGGCAAGCAAAAUAAGAAAGAAAACCCUAAGUGUGACUCCUUAUUCGAAAAAGGUAGUCUGUGUAAAACCGGAUCAGGGUUCAGGGAUCAGGUUACUUAUUGGGAAGGUAUGACAAUGACCGUAGCACUCCUCUAAGUCCUUAAAAACGGGCCUCUACUAAAAAAAAUAAAGUAAUCAUGGCAAUCAGUAAGGAAAUCACUGGAUACCCAGAACAAUUAUGCACAUGUGAGAAUUAAAACAUGCAUAAGAAUGGACAAAGUGAGAGUGGGUGCGUACCUUGACAACGAACCACAAUGCGUUAUCAAGAAAUGGGGUUAGUGCACGAUCAAUGAACAUAAAACACGUCACACAUGUCACUAAGCAGAGUGAGAAAUCAUCAGAUAUUACAAUUCAAUCAAAUUUAUUUUUAGAAGAAACAUCUGUUGAUGUAGAGCCCCUACCAAAGCCUAAUUUAUUUUUGCAUGAAUCAAUUUCAUAAAUUCAAUCGCUUGGAAUUACAGAAUUAAAUUCAUGCUUAUUUUAAAACAUCUUUUUAAAAUCAUGGAAGAUGUGAAAAUGGUUUUCCAAAGAGAAAAUGACAACUGAUUUUAUUGAAAAUGGGAUUUUGGGGACCUAAACGUUAAAGAGGGAUUAGGAAUUGAAAAUUAAAUCAUUUGAAAAUUGAAUUUUUCAAAAAUCAGUUUUGAAAGCAUGCAUGCAAGUAUGGACUGUGAAAGUGGGCCUAGGGAGGGUGGCCAUGCAAAAUGAGGUCAUACACGUGGGCCUUGGGUACAAUUGGGACUACUUUGCUGGUGCCAGUGGUGCUUGCAGCUGUCAUCCAUGAUUUCUUCAUUGGGAUCAAUUUCCAUUCUUACUGCCAAACAUUCCAUAACAAUUGACCAAACUAGUAACCCUGACCUUGCAUGAAAAUGAACGUUACCUAGAAACUCACUGCCAGUGAGAUUCAUUGCUCUUUCAAAAGGUCUCAUUUUCUUUCUCAUCCAAUUGCUUUAAGGAGCAUUCUAGCGUCACGAUUGGUGACUGCGCAUCAUCUAGAGCCUUCUUUCUUCUCAGAAUCAGGUUUGCGUGCAGAGGCCUGUGCUUGUUCAAGGUUGACCUAAAUUCAUCUAGGUUUAGAACCGACCAGUUGAGCUUGGGGAGCAACGACAAGAAUAUCAGUCACUUGCGAAGAGAAAACUCGAGAUCUUUCAAGUAAUGCCUGACAUAGAUUCCUCCAACCUGUGGCCAAUAUCUCAUUCCUUGUUGGCCAGACGCCUAUUAGGGCGUAUCUCAAUCAAUAAUAUGAUUUUUCGUUUGUUCACAAUAAAGACCGGAAGCCAUGGUUGUGAUUUAUGCAGUACAGAAGAAGUUGCCAUGGCUGGUAUCCUUACAAAUUCUGGUGUUUCUGCUAUCUGUUCAAGUGCAAAACACAACAGCUUUAUCAAGUUUGUCCCUAACAACUGAUAUUGAGCCCUCUGGAGGAAACCUUGAUAAAUUCAUAAUCACUUUUGACUCAUGCAUGGGCUGCCCAUCAAAUUUUCCUAGCAACGAGACGACUGCUGUCAUCUACUGCAAAGAGAAUUUCUUCUCGCAAAGACAAGAGGAGUUUAAGAAUACACACUAUUCUGCCAUUUCAUUUCCUCUUUCUCCACAACCAACAUAAACCAUAGUGUCUACAUUAGAGUACUUAGAAAGAGCUUAACUGAUGACCGUUUUUCCACAACCAAAUGCCCCAGGUAUGGCACAAAUUUCACCGAAAACAGAAGGGAAAAGGGCAUCAAGAACACGCUGUCCUGUAAGUAGUGGGGUAUCAGGACUACUCUAGGGAAGUUAUUUCUGUCAUUUUGAAAAAGAAAAAUUAAAGAAUGUACACAUGCUUUCAAGUGGACUGGAGCAUUCUACAUAUCAGGUGGUCUGUAGCCACAUGUGCCACUUUGUGGAAGUUGGAACAGUCGAUCACUAGGCUAUUUAGUGUGGCCAAGCCACGUUAAUCAAGGACAAGUCUUCAUACUUAAAAGUCAAAUGGUGCCUUUAGUCUCAUUACACAUGGCUAUUUAAAGAUGAACUAAUCUUUAGUGUAAUGUGAUUAAGACAGUACUAACUGAUCAAUAUUUUUUCUAAUUUUGGAUGCAAAUGCUUGCUGGCUUCAUCAUUGGAUGGGAUAAAGGUGCAUUCAUGACUCUGAAUACUUGCAGUAAUACUUGCAGUAAUACUUCAUUCUCUUUUUUCUCGAUGAGACUUCUUGGCACAAUUUUGCUUCUCAGCAACCUACCUCUCCAUGGAAAAUGAGUUGCGAUUGAUGGUACUGGAUAUUUUCUAGGAAGCUAAAUAUAGAUAUAUAGCACUCAAUGUCAACGAUAUAUAUAGCAUUAACAGUAUAUGUCUCAAUGCUCAUCAGCUACAAGCAAGGGACAAACACUUACAAUGAAUAACUCACGUCAACAUUCCUAAACAGGACAUAGAAGUGACAGAUCUAUAUAUAGAACACUGCAUAUGAGUCACAAGAAAAGAUAAUACGGGUGCAUAGCAGCUCUUAUAUUACAUAUUACUCAUACCGUUCAAAUUCACUCAGUUGGGAUGGGUGGGAGAAGGAGGCCUCUGGGGUGGCUUGUGCGUGUGAGAAGUGGAAGAAAGUUGAAUGGAAUGAAACUGAAAAACAGGGUAGAAUAGAGGUUUCUUGAAUCUUCUGAAAUCUUUAUUUUUCUGAGAUUUAUUCUCUGUUUUUGUGAGUCGUGACUCUACAUAUAUACAUGUAUUUAAAGUUAGUUAUGCCUUAUAACUAAUUAUCUAACAGUACCAAAACUAAUCAUCUAGUUGCAUGUUUCUAAUUAAUGCUAUUUAGUUACAACUAUAUAUGGCUUAACAUCCUCUCUCAAACUCAAAAGUCUAGCUAGAACAGUGAGUUUGCUUCAUAGAUUGAGAAAUUGUUGAAUAGGUAAGGCUUUGGUAAGAGCAUUAGCAAUCUGGUCAUAAGAAGGAAUGUGUUGAACCACCAAAGUCUUAUUGAGCACCUUUUCCUGAACAAAAUGGCAAUCUAGUUCCACAUGCUUAACUCGAGAAUGAAAAUAGGAUUGGCAGCAAGAAAGGUGGCUGAAAGAUUGUCAUAGAACAAAACAAAAUAGGAGAAUAAGAAGAUGAGAUAGAAAACUCCUGAAGAAGAUGUUGAAUCCAUUGAAGUUCAAAAGCAACAUUUGCUAAGGCCCUAUACUCAGCUUCAUUGCUGGAACGAGACACAACUUUCUGCUUACUGGAGUUCCAGGAGACUAGAUUAGAGCUAAAAAAGAUGCAAUGACCACUUGUACUUCGACGAUCAUCAGGGCAACCAACCCAAUCAACAUCAGCAUAAGCAGUAAGUUGAAAAUCAGGAGAAGAAUAAAAGGAAAGACCAAAGGAAGUAGUGCCCUUAAGAUAAUGCAACAAUCGUUUAACAACUUGCCAAUGAAGAUCAGUUGGUUAUUGCAUGAAUUGGCAAAGUUUAUUGAUAGAGAAAGAGAUGUCAGGCCUUGUAAUGGUACAAUAUUGCAGGGCUUCAACAAUGUUGCGAUAUUGAGAAGGGUCAGCCAAGAGGGAACCUUUAGAGGCAGAUAAAGUGUGAGAGGUAGUCAUUGGUGUAUCAAUAGGUUUAAAAUAUGGAAGACCAGCACGAGUUAACAAGUCCUGAAUAUAUUUGGUUUGGGAAAGAUGAAGAGAAGAUCCUUGCCAACAUACUUCUACACCCAAGAAGUAAUUCAGAAUACCAAGGUCCUUGAGAGCAAACUGAAAGUGUAAAGACGAAACCAUUUGGUGGACUAGCACGGUAUUAAGACCACUAACAAUAAUGUCAUCAACAUAGAUGAGAAUAAUGAUCAUGUCAGUCCCUUUCCGAAGAGGAGCUUGCUUCAGACCCUACAAGGCUUUGCGAAGUUUACAGAAAAAACCGGGUUUAGAAUGAUCAACAAAGCCUGGAGGUUGAACCAUGUAAACCUCUUCUUCUAACUCACCAUUGAGAAAGGCAUUAUUAACAUCUAAUUGUUCCACUAACCAACCAUGAGAAAUAGCAAGAGAAAGAACAAUUCAUAUAGUAGUUGGUUUAACAACAAGGCAAAAGGUUUCAAAAUAAUCAAUACCAUAUGUUUGAUUAAAACCCUUUGCAACUAAGUAGGCUUUAAAACGAUCAAUUGAGCCAUUAGCUUUGAGUUUCAGCUUGUAUAUCCAUUUACAACUAAUAAUGCGUGUAUUAACAGGUUUAGGAACCAAUGUCCAUGUGGAAUUGGUGAGAAGAGCAUCAUACUCAGUCUUCAUAGCAGCUUGCCAAUUAGGAUGCAAUAUUGCUUCUUUGAAAGAGGAGGGUUCGACAACAGUAGUUUGGAUAGCAAGGCUAAAUAUUUUUUUGGGUUUAAAAAUACCAUUUUGGCUACGAGUAACAAUAGUUCGGUUUGGAAGUGAAAGAGGAUCAGUGGAGGAGGCUGGAACAAGGGAUUGUGGUAAAGUAGGAAAGGAAGGUGGAUGAGAUGGAACAAAAUCAGUAGGGACAAUAAUGGGAGAAGAAAAAUUAGGUGGAGAAUGAUGAGGAUUCCUUGAAGAUGGUGUAGGAAUAGAGAGAAUACCAGAAUCAAGAAGUGUUAAAGAAGAGUUGGAUGAUGAUACUGGUUGACAGGAUAAAGACUUUGUUAAAAAUGGAAAUCGAGUUUCAUCAAAUACAACAUGACGAGAAGCAUAUAUCCGAGAGGAAGCCAUAUCCAAACAGAGGAAUCCCUUGUGUUUAGCACUAUAACCCAAAAAACAGCAAACAACAAAUAUAUUUGCUAGCUUGUGAGAAGCAUAAGGGCGAAGAUAAGGAAAACACAAGCAUCCAAAACUUCAAAGAGAUGUAUAAUAAGGUAAACGAUUAUAAAGAACUCCAUAAGGAGAAUUUUGUGAAAGAACAGCAGAGGGAAGGCAAUUUAUGAGAAAAAUGGCAGUUUGAAAUGCAAAUGACCAAUAUUUGAGAGGGUAUACCAGCUUGUAUUAACAAAGAAAGACCAACUUCCACAACAUGACGAUUCUUUCUUUCAACUCUUCAAUUUUGCUAAGGAGUAUAAUGACAAGAGACUUGAUGAAGAAGACCAUUUGUAGCCAAAUAAUUCUGAAAAGCUGAAACUGAAACUCAUCAAAUUGAUUUUUAGUAUCAAAUUUUCUUCAGACUGAACACAUUGAUUUUUAGUAUCAAAUUUUCUUUCAACCAUGGCUUGAAAAUGUUGGAACAUAAGUAAAGCUUCAUCUUUAGUUUCCAAAAGGUACAACCAUGAGAAUAUGCUAAAAUCAUCAAUUAGCAAGAGGAAAUAUUGAGCAUUACCAUUGACAGAAACUAUAGGAGUUGCACCCCAAAGAUCAACAUGGAUGAGACCGAAUGGUUUUAUUGCUCUAGAAGUGGAUAUUUCAAAUGGAAAACGAUGGCUUUUAGCCAACUGACAAGACUCACAUACAGAGUUAUUAUUGUCAUGUUUCAAAGGUAUUUUAUAAAGAGAUAAGAUUUUGGAAACUACAUUAAUAGAGGGAUGACCAAGUCUAUUAUGCCAAAGCCUCAAAGAACCAACGGCUAAAGUACUACUAGUAGAGUAAAAUACUAGUGGAUGACCAACAACUCUUGGUGUAGCAAGAAGUUUAUAGAGACCCUUCUCAAUUUUUCCUUGAAGAAGAGCAAGUCUCGUUUCCUGAUCCUUUACCACAAAAUGAGAAGAACGAAAUUCAAUAAAGGUGCCAUUGUUUGAGUAAAAUCGUUGCACGCUAACUAAGUUGGUGGUAAUAGAAGGAACAUGUAAGACAUCAUUGAAAAACAAAGAACCACUUGAAGAGGCAAGAGAAAAUUUACCAAUAUUUGCAAUGGAUAAACCCUUACCAUCUCCAACAAUUACUUUGUCACCACUGGUAAAUGGAUUAUGGAUUGUUAAAUUGUUAAGAUCAGAUGUGAGAUGAUGGGUAGCCUUUGUAUCAAGAAACCAAUAAGUGUCUCCCAUUGUUGCAGAAGUUGUAGUCAUAGCCUCAGGAUUGUUAGAGGUGGAAUGUUUAGAAUCUUUUGGCUGAUAAUCAGAGUUAAACCGAUACCAGCAUUGUAAAGCGGUGUGUCCGAACUUACAACCGAGAGAAAUAAUCUUUACUUAUUCUCUAAAAACUGUUCUUUAUUCCACACAUUAUUUCUAAAAACUGUUUCUAGAUAACAAUGACAAAAUAGUAUUAGGAAUUUUUAAAAAUAAAAAUUGUUUUUAAAUUACAUGAUCUAUAUCAUUCACAUUUGACCAUUAUAGCUUUGUUCAGGAAAACACUUGAAAGUAACCUUAUCGUGAUAAGAGAUAUAAGUUGGCUGUAGUUUCAAACUGAAAACAGAGGAUGGCAAUAGAAAGCAAAGCAUUAGUUAUCUGCAAUCAGUGGUGAUCAUGCCCCAUGUCAAUUUCGGACCCAUAUCUUAAAACCGUAUAAUUUGCAUUUCAACAUUUCUGAUUUCUCAGAUGUUUCAUACUCCACAGAAGAACAUUGUUUGUGAAAGCAUGCAUUUAUGCUGGAUUUUGGAUGAUGUGGGAACUGGGGCAAGGAUCAUAUGGAAGAGUGGUCGAUUUUUUCUGUACUUUAACAUUUGAAAUAGGAGCAGCACGGGCAUUUGUGGGGCUUAAUUGAUUUUGAAGCCUGAAAUUGCGUUUCUGUCAUUUUGUAAAAAAUAUGGCAGAUUCCAUGCUCUCAUAUGUUUGGUCUGUGGCCAUGUAUAGAUGCCACUUAGUGACCAGUUUGUAACUGUCAAUCAUAGUGUUUUGACUCUGGCUCAACAACAUCAGCCAUUGACGGAUUUUCAUACAUGCAAAUCAAAUAGUCUUCUUCCUCCCUUAGGAAUUUCGGUUUAAAUGUUAUUAAGCAUACAUUUGGCUGACAAUUAUUAACCACUUCAUGAUAUGGUUUCUUACCCUUAAUCAAUGGUUUCUAAGUGAAUAUAUGCAGAAGGAAAUCUGAACUGUAGACAGCAGUAUUGAUAAUUAUCAAUAUUCUUUAUAUAAGAGAAUAAACAACGUCAUAGUGAUCGUCGCCUACAAGAAAGGUACAUUUCCCAACAAGAUGUAGUUGUGACUGGUACAUGGACGUAAUUAACUCGUAGAAAAGGAUAAGACCAGUGCACGGCAGCUCUUAUUUUACAUGCUAAUUAUGCUAACCAAAGUCACUCAGUUGGGAUGGGAGGGAGAUGGAGGUUUGUGCGGUGGCUUGUGGGGCGGAGUUGGUGGCUUCUUUUCAGGAGCUUGUGGCUUUUUCGGAGCUGAAGGAGGCUCAAUCUUAUGAGGCGGCUUGUACGAGUCUUCUUUACUCUCGACAGGAGGGUGGCCAGGGUUGUGACCAUAAUGUGGUGGCUUCUCUCCCUUAGGUGGCUUGCCAACUGGGGUUGGUGGCUUGUGUUCAGGAAGUGGUUUCUCUCCCUUGGGAGGUUUACCAAUUGGGGUUGGUGGCUUGUGUUCUGGGAGUGGUUUCUCUCCCUUGGGAGGUUUAGUGGGUGACUUGUGUUCUGGAGGUGGCUUCUCCACCGGAGGCUUGUGCUCCGGUGGUGGCUUCUUGGUUGGAGGGGGCUUGGGGUAAUCAGCAAGAGAUGGGGGGGUGAGAACCACCACUCCAAGGAACAACACUAGCAAGUAUGUGGGAGACAUUUCUGAGUUUGAGCUGAUCAGAUGAUGCAAAACUAGAAGAAUUACGUGACCUUUUAUAGCAAGUAGCUCCCAAUACCCACAUGACACGUGUUACUGUGACCAUAAAUAUUAUAGGGUCCAUUUGUGCCCUACCGGGUUGAAAACUUGGACGCUUGGCCGAGGACACACCGAACUAUGGAGGACUAUUGACGUGUGAUCACAGCUUUUGGAUUUUUCUUCCUGUGCAGCUGUCUAGCGGUUGGCAUUAUUUUUUUAAUCUUAAAUAAAGGCAUAGUUAUAGAGUACAUUUAUAUAUCUUCAGAUAGCCAUUAAUAUAUUUGAUGAAGAAAGACAAGUGCAUACAACAUGUAUACGGCUUGCUUCAAUCGAGUACAUUUAUGAUCAGUUUUCCAGUGCAAGUAAACCAGUUUUUUGUUCCACAACUAUUUUGGAAUCUUGUUUAUCAGUUUCUAUCAUUAUAAUGUCACAUAGGCUGCAAACUUGGGCACCCAAAGAUCUAGUUGGGCAAAUUUGUUUCAGAAUUUCAAUGGUGGAUUCAGUAAUUGUUAAAAGGUGUUUCUUCAUUAAGGAAAGAGUCCUGUAAAAAUAUUGUUAAAAGGUGUCAUAGAAACUAUAAUAAUUAAAUAACUUCUUUUCCCCGUGGGUGGUGUUUCUUCUGGGGAUACCCAAAAUGAGUUCAGAUUAAAAUUGGUUCGAGUCAAAGCUGUCUCUUUUGUCCAGAAAUCAACUAUUUUGCGCAUUGCAUGAAUCGAUAAAGAAAAAAUGAAAGCCAAAUCACACCUCCCCUGCAAAACCUAAACCCCGGUUGCUAACUUUCUAUGUUUCAGUCCUAUUCAUACAGGAAUAUUGGUUCAAGUUUGAGAAAAAUGGCAACUUACCUAGGGAUUACUUGGUUGUGGUUUGCGACGACUAUUUACGCAACCAACCAUGAGUUUGACUUUAACGUCAUGGGUUGAAGCCUCCUACAAUCGUGUAUGAUAGUUCAAAGCUCGUAGUAGAAAUUAUACAGGAAGGAAGAAACCUCCAAAGCUAGCUCCAAAAGAGAAUUAUCACAUCGAUAGCUCCAGAGAUUCCCAAGGGGACUGAAUCAAAGACAAGUUCCUCACUUUUUCUUCUUUUGAGGCCAAAUAUGAACCAAGGAUCACACGACCUCAUUCAACUUCAUAAGUUUGAUUUCAUGCAGUUGAACACUGGGUGAAGGCCAUGACAAGAAUUGAUUAAAAAAUUCUACCACUGUUUUAAGUAAUGGAAGAUUAUUAUCUCUGAUUGGCACCACAACAGCACAUGCUGCUAGAUCUUUCUAGACACUCCAUGCAAUGAAAGUACAAUGGAUCUUGUAACGAUAGAAACUAAGCCAUGCUACAGUACUAGAUGACGAGGUAAAACUAUUAGACAUGGGUGGCAGCCUAUAUGGGAGGGACACAAGUCUAAUUGAUUUGCAUUUCAGCGUUCUAGAUGGGUAUGUUUUGGAAGAUUUGUUCUGGAAAUACCGCACCAAGUAGGAUUCUUUUUUCUCUUGAGUGGGUCCACUUGCAUGCCAAUUAUCGAGUUGAAAAGUAGAGCACCUACCUCGUGCUCGUGGAACCGAAGGUCAGUGAAGUGGGGCUCCUUUUGGCCUCUUGUGUUUCUGUUCCAACCAAGGCGGCGGAGGGAAAAACAGCAAUAUGUCUCCGCUAAAUAUCAACGCAUGAUAGCGAAUGAGGGAGAAAAAAAGUAAUUGGCAUCUCAAUCUCACAAACUUGGUACAGUAGUGACAUUAAUAGUCUUCCACAUGGUUUUUAUUUUAUUUUAUUUUAUAUUUUAUAUUUUCCAUUUUUUUAUUUUUUUGUAUGUCAAGGCUAAUGAAUAAAAUGCGUUAGCUUGUUUUGUGAUUGGAACUGCAAAUGUCCAAAUUGGAGUUUCUCCAUUUCUCAGUUCGGAUGGUUAACUUUAUAAACAAGAUAUAGGAAACAUGUGAACGUCUUGAGGAACAAUUCGAAUUAUUGAUUAGAACUCCUAGGUUGAGUUCCAAGAUUUAAAUCAGACCCCUCUAGCAGCUUCAGGGGUACCUAGCAAUUAGAACAUAUUAAUGAAGAUUUAGGAUUUAGACUCCGGAAUACAAAUUAAUAUGUAUCUUAUGCUCUGACUAGCUUCCCUGCAUAUGCACAAAAUGGAGAUGACCCAAAAAAUAGCAGAAUCGCCUUAGUUUAUGUGGUUAAGGUGAUUCUCCGGUUAAUAUCCACAUUGGCUCAUUAUGCAAAUCAACUGAGCUAUUUUUUUUUUAAUGUCAAAUAGGAACUCCUAAUUAACCUAACCAUUGGCCUGUGUAAAUUGAUUUCACAUGCACAAUGUUGUAGUAGAAGUCCACAUUUUGAAUUUUAUUUUUGGAAAGGUAAGGAAAAUGAAGCAUUGUGUAAUUAUAAAAAUAACUUCAUUGGAAUUCACAAGGUUCACCCAAAAUGGAGCUACAUCCGUAUUCUAUCUUACAGUAGACUAUAUAGAUUGUACAAUAGUAAAUUGCAAAUACAAUUAAUAAGUCUUGUGUUUCCUUACUAAUAAUCCUUUGACAUAAACAUUGCAGCACUAAGGUCCUCUUGGGCAGACACCUUGCACCCAUGAGAGCACUAAGAGGAAGCAAGGCGGAGUCAUGGGUGCAAUGUCAUGACUUGUUGCACUAAGAGAGGCUUGGUGAUGGCAUAGUGCUGCAGUAGCAAGAAUGUUGCCUUGGCAGGGACACGAUCUAGGGACAGAUGCCAAGAAAGGCUUAGCACUCACAUGAGUUGCACAAAGAUGAAUGAAAUAGAACAUCAAAGAGACAUCUUGGCAAGCUCAAGAAAGACAUGUGGGUUGGUAAAUGAAUGGAUGCAAGAGGCAACAACAUGAGGAGUUUCAAAUGGAUAGGGAAUGAGUCAAAGACAUUUGAAAGCUACAAGUUGGAUUCUAAUUACGAUUGCAAUUUGAGUUUGAGUAGGAGUUUAUAUUAUGAUUGUAAUUGUAGUAUGAGUUGGACUAGGAUUGCUUAUCCCUAGUCAAAAUAGGAGUUGUUCAUGCCACACCCUAUGAAAAGAGUUUGAGUAGGGACUAGGAUUGCUUGCUCCUAGUCAAAUAUGGAGUAGGUGGUGCCACACCUAUAAAAAAAAAAGGGACAACAUGAGAGAGAGAGAGAAUGAAUUCACCAAAGAUAUUGUGGGAGUUUUGCUUUGUUACAUCUUGUAUUAUUAUUUAGAAUAGUAAUAAAAUACAAGUUGGGGCUAGAGCCCCAUAAUCUCGUGUGCCUUUGUGGGUUAUUCUUUAUUUGCCAUCUCGUGUGGAUUGGAUUAGAUUGAUGAGGCGAAAUAUUAUGUGGGAAAUUUAUGUUGGGACACUUACCAUAACCAGGUAAAAUCUACCAAGUCUUUUGUAAUAUCUUCUACAAAUAUUUUAGACCAGUUCUUCACAAAACAUCAUAAUAUGUUUUGUGUUUCUCUUGGAUUUUGAGUUGAAUUGUCUUAGAUCAAUUGAAUGCAUCUCAAUAUUAUUAUCUUGUUUGAAGGCUUGAUGAUUUUCCAUUUAACUUUACUUUCUUUAGGUUAUGCUUGAUUCCUUAAAAGUACUAAGGAAAACAAAAAAUAAAAAAAAAUAAAAAAUGCAGAGGGUUAGGACAUGUGUUAUCUAAUUGUCCUAUCCAAAGAUAUUAAGAAAGUCAUGUAGGAAAGUAAUUGAAAACUAGGUCAAGAAAGGAGCAAAAGGGAAUUGUUUUGGUAUUUUCUUUUUUAUUCUUGAAGGUGGCAGAGCUAAAAUUUGAGAAAUCAAGCAAAACAUACUGAAAUUACAUUGAAAGAAAGAAAAUGGUAGUUAAUGUCUUGCAGUACAUGAUAAGGACUUCAUGCAUGUAGUGUGACGACCCAUGUCUUGGACUGAUGCCACACUCACGGUUACACUUAUACCCUUGGUUCUCUCUUUACUACCUUGGCUAACCUAGAUCAGGCUAUGAGAUAGGCUCCUCACCACACCAUCACUUGCCCAGUAAUUAGUGACAUUUUCAAGCAAUGAGGUAACAUGGUGACACCAAGAGGGUUUAUCCCUCGCCCCAACAAGUCUAGACUCGGUCUCAAAAAAAUGGAGAAAAAUGAGGUGUCGUUAUGCAGAAAUACAACAACCAUGCCUUCCUUAUUACUUAGAUUCAGAAUGUGAAGGUGAAAUUGAGAAACAGAAACUCUUGAAACCAGAAUGAAAAUUGAUACUUUUACGAAGAAUUACAACAUUAGAGGAAGACUACAUUCUUCCUCUAUAUUCCUACGUUUCUACACUACUUCUACUCCACUCCAUAUUUCUACAUACAUCUUUAAUCAGUUUUCCCUCCUUUAUAUAGAGCCAUCUUCACACAAAUUCCGCAAGGUAGAAAAGAGGAAUGAAACUUGGAGCAAGGUUCGACUACUGGUUGUCGCUUGUCAAGGCUGGAAUUGAACUUUUUUUCUUGGCUUUUCUGGGCAUAGGUAGUAACUUGUGGUUCCUUUUUGGAAUGAAAAUGGUACAGCUAGAACAUGUGGCACUCUCUUGUUGGAUUAUGUGUCAAACAUGUGGCAGCCAUCUAGUGGAGAUUAUUUCAAUUUUGGGAUGGAGAGUUGGCAUCCAAUUGCAAAGAAAUAUGACAUCUACCAACAUGCAAUGUAAACCUAUAUAGAUCAUAUGGAGAUAGAGAGGAAACAUAUAGAAAUGGAUAUAUACCUAGAACUAGCUUUUUAUUAAAUGAGACGGAGAGCCAACAAUGAAGGAAAAUCAAAAUUUUUGGCUCAUAUCAAAGAAUUCACAUUGUGUUACCCUAGGUUUUCUUAAAGCUUGCACAAAGCCAAAAAGCACACAAAAAAUUAUAUUUUCUAGCUCUCUACCUUGGAUGGUCUCUUGAUCCUACUUGGAGAUGUGCAUAAAUAAAAGGAUUUGAAAAUGACAAUUGACUAAGUAUGUAGUCAAUCAAUUACUCAUUAAUUGACUAGUUGAUCAAUUAACUUUGCAACAUCAUAUGCAAUCCUAAUAGCUAGUCAUCUAAUCAACUAGGUAGUAAAUCAAUAGGCCAAAAAUAUGUUUAUAAUGACUAUUUUGUACAAAAACCACCUAUAUGGUUAAAUAUAAUGCAUUUCAUUUAUAAAUCUUCUAAUUCUUGAAUAACGAUCCUAUCAUCCUUUGAAAGUUUUUAUUACACCUUUUAUACUUUUGUUCUAAAACUUACACAUGUACAUCACCCUUAAUUGUACCAUGAGAACCUAGCUUUUUUUUUUUUUUUUUUUGUAAUUCAUCAAAGUUAGCUUUUGUAUUCAUUACUGUACUAUUUUUAUUGUAACUUAGAAAGCGAGUGUUUUCAAGUGAGUGAAAUUGACUUAUAAAUAUUGUAAAGAUUCAUUGAUGUGUAUCUUAAACUAAGUGUACAAGUUGAAACAUUUGCUAGUAGAUUUUCUCAAGAUUUAGAAUAGAGCUUGAGGCUAUUGAAAUAGGUGGGGUUGCACCAAACCACAUCACAUUGUUGUUUGCACCUUUUUUUCACUCUCUUUUACUUAGUUGCUCUAUAUUUGUUGUCUAGUAAUAUCCUAUAGGCUUGAUGGGUUAGGGAGCAUCCCUUUGUGAAAAAUUUUCAUUCAAUCCUUAGUUGUAUCACGCAUAUAUAAAAUGCCUCAUUGUUUUAAUGGUAUUCAGUCGUGGCAUCACAGAUAUGGGCAUCUAAAUUUUAAAAGUUUGAAACUUUUAUCUAAAGAAAAUAUGGUGCUUUGCCUUUUUGUAAAGCAUGUUGAUGAAAUCCAUGAGAAUUGUGUACUUGGGAAGCAACAUCGAGAUGACUUUUUUUUUUUUCAUUUUUUAUAAUGCGACACCUAAGUCCGGUUUCUAAAUGCUGAAGUGAAAGGGUAGGUAUGGACCAUUGAAAUCUGAUCACAACUUUUGGCCUUUUCCUUUCUCUGCAGCCAUGUUGUCUCUUUUUUCUUUUGCAUGAUUUUCUUACCUAAACAGAAUCAUAGACUUGUUUAAUCUCUAAAUGGUAUUUCAUCCAGCUUUAAGCUACUGUAUUAUAUCUUGGUGGAGGACUUUUAAGAGUGAAACCGACAUAGAGCACAUGCAAGUGGGUAUAUGGGACAUGAAAUUUCUUCUUAUAAAGACUGCAUGGUUUUUAUAUUAGAGUUGUUGAGGCGCAAUGUAUUUAGCUUGUUUUGCAGUUAAAUUAAUUGGAUAAGUAGACAUUGUCGUUUCUAAAUUUCCCACCUAAGAUAGUGACCUUAUCCUUGACUGCUUGAUGAGAUACACAAACAAUUAUACCUUCAAAAUCUACUGUGAAGUGCUUCAUGUAUGUGUGAAGUAUUAGAAAUUUCUUUCUUGGCAACUUGUUUUUUCUUUGCCCUCUACUGAUAGGUUUGACUCAAAUUAAAUUCCCUGUCAUGCUAAUUAAUUUUCACGUGCAUGCUCAAAAGGAUCACGUCAACUCUGGUUUCUACUAUUCAGGUCCAUUCCCAGAUAAACUGGUUCAAAUUUGAGAAAAUGGCAACAGCCCUUUAGUGAUGUUGGUUUGGAGCCAGUAGCCAAACCCGCCCUGAGCUUUACCACUAAUGUCAAGGGACAAAGCCAUUUGAACAAAAACAAUAGCUUCAAGAGACUGAAUCGUGGAUGAAAUCUGAUCCACAUUUCUUCUCAUUUUGGGAACAAAUGAGAACUUAACUACAAAGAUUCUACUGCCUCAUAGUGCUUUUCCUGAUCUAAGGUUGGUUCGUUUCCCAAAUUGUGAGGUACGUGCCAUUCUCACGCUCAGGAGUGUAUCCACGUGGUGGACAUAAGAUGGUGGCUUAAUAUCUGGUGUCGGUGGCUUUACUUUACUAGGAGAGUAGUGUGUCUUCAUCUCAUUCACUGCCGGAGGGUGGCGUAAGCAGUGACGCUAAGGUGGGGCACAGUCAAUAUCAUUUGCAUUUGACCAUUAUAGUUUUCUCCCGGCUUGAAAGUAACCUUAUCGUGAUAAAGGAUUACUAGCACUAGUUCAGAUGACAGUCAUGUUAAAUUCGGACCAUGUUUGUGUCACAUUAUCAGCAACCAUGUGUUUAUGGUUCAUGCUAUCUGCAACUAAACUUGAUAUAUAACCACGUGAACUUCAAUCUAAAUUCUGGAAGUACUCUUGUGAUAGAUGGUGCCUGUCUGCAGAGUCCAUCAAUUGAAAAAUGGAGUGAGUGUAUCUAUAAGAGGGAAGGCUUGGCAAAUGUUCAGUUUUCUGGGAACUCAACAAGGAUCUAAAAUAGAUUGUUUUCUUUGCUGAUUUCAAUGGUUGAAAUUUGAGAAGAUUGUGUCCACAUAACACAACUAUUACUGGUCCUUCUGUUGCAAUUUAUCCUCUAAGGCUCUAACAUGUCUUCCAAUUCCCACUUCCCUGUUACUCCAGGAAAGCUAUUUCUGUCAUUGUGAAGAAGAAAAGAGAAUGUACAUAUCGAUGGUUUUAAGUGACUGGGGCAUUCAUAUCAGGUGGUCUGCAGCCAUAUAUGCCACUUUGUGAAGGUUGGAACAGUCAAUCACCAGGCUAUAUUAGUGUGGCCCAGCCACUUCAAUCAAGGACAAGUCUUCAUACUUAAAGUCAAAUUCUGCCUUUAGUCUCAUUAUAAAUUGCUGUUUAAAUAUUAAGCAAACAUUUGUUUAAUGCGAUUAAGACAGUACUAACUCAAUACUUGUUCUAUUUUUGGAUGCAAAUGCUUGAUGGUUUCAUCAUUGGAUGGGAUAAAGGUGCAUUCAUGAUUAUGAAUACUUGUAGUUAUAUUUUCAUUCUCUUUUUUCUCAAUGAGACUUGUUGGCACAAUUUUGCUGUUCAGAAACCUACCUCUCCAUCGAAAAUCAGUUGUGAUUGAUAGUACUGGAUAUAUUCAAGAAAGCUAAAUAUAGAUAGCACCAAAUAUUAUCGAUAUAAAUAGCAUUAACAGCGUACGUAUGUCUCAAUGCUCAUCAGCUAUAAGCAACGGGCAAACACUUACUAUGAGCAACUUGCGUCAAAAUUCCAGAAUAGGACAUAGAAGUGACAGAUCUAUAUAUAUAUAGAACACUGCAUAUGAGUCACAAGAAAGGAAAUUACGGGUGCAUAGCAGCUCUUAUUUUACAUCCUACUCAUACUGAUCAAAGUCACUCAGUUGGGAUGGGUGGGAGUAGGAGGUUUGUGGGGUGGCUUGUGCGGAGGAGUUGGCAGCUUCUUUCCAGGACCUGGUUGCUUCUCUGCUGGAGUUGAAGGAGGCUUAAUCUUCCGAGGUGGCUUGUAUGAGUCUUCAGCAUUCUCAGCAGGAGGGUGACCAGGGUUGUGACCAUAAUGUGGUGGCUUCUCUCCCUUAGGUGGUUUGCCAACUGGGGUUGGUGGCUUGUAUGAGUCUUCAGCAUUCUCAGCAGGAGGGUGACCAGGGUUGCGACCAUAAUGUGGUGGCUUCUCUCCCUUAGGUGGUUUGCCAACUGGGGUUGGUGGCUUGUGUUCUGGGAGUGGCUUCUCCCCCUUGGGAGGUUUUUCCAAUGGGGUUGGUUUGUGUUCAGGAGGUGGCUUCUCCACUGGAGGCUUGUGUUCAGGAGGUGGCUUCUCCACCGGAGGCUUGUGUUCAGGAGGUGGCUUCUCCACCGGAGGCUUGUGUUCAGGAGGUGGCUUCUCGAAUGGGGGAUGCUCAGGGUAAUCAGCAAGUGAGGGGUUGGUGAGAACCACCAUGCCAAGCAACAGGACUAGCAAGUAUGUAGGAGACAUCUUUGGGUUUGGACUUAAGACAGUGGAAAACUGCGAGAAUUCUCUAGCCUUUUAUAGCGGGUCGACCCAGUACUCACAUGACACGUGUCAUUAUGACACAUGUGCCAUGGGGUCGAUUUGGGUCCUACAGUGUUGAAAAGUUGGGCAUUUGAGGUGUGAGCACAACUUUUGGCCUUUGCUUUC